UUUUUUUCUCGGGUUUCACUAGCUUUCAUUUUCUUAACUUUUCACAUGCACAAUUAAUAUUUUUCAAAUUUGUUUGCAAAGUGAUUUCUGUAAUAGAUAUAUUUAGAAUACUUUGAAAUAUAAUAAAAACAGUAAUAAUUACAAAAUAUGAAAAAGGAUGAAAAAGGAACAUAGAAGACCCGCUGUCCGCACUGGGCCAGCCCAUUCUGGCCCAUGCAAGAGGCGAGGCGUGGUACUAUCAAGAGCAAACCUCCUAAGAGCAUCUACAACCAGACUUCCUAUUUUGACUGGGCGGACAACACGAUAGUAGUUUCAAUUGUCUUUUAUUUAUGCCAUGUUUGUUCUUUUUGGUUUUCUUUGUUUCUUCACUCAAUUUCUCUGGUUUUCUGUUUUCUUGUUUUUCAUCGGUUUUUAGUUUAUUUCUCGGUUUUUUUGGUUUGUUUUGUUUUUCAUUGGUAUUCUUCAUUUCUUUCUUGGUUUUCACUAGUAUUUUUUACCUUUGGUUUCUUUCUUGUUUCUUUUGUAGGUUUUUCUUUAACACAUGUCUACUUUUUUCCAGUACACAAUAUACAUUUCUGGUGUACAAAUGAAUCAUUAUUUUCAUACAAGUUGAACUUUUUCCAUAUAUUUUUUGAGUACACGAGGAAUAUUUUUUAUACACACGUUUAACAUUUUUACAGAUGCAUAAUUAACAUCAUUUCAUAUAUAUACGUUUUGAUGUUUAGUUUUCAUAUACAUUAUACAAUUUUGAAUACACAUUUAAUAUUUUACGAAUACGCAAUUAAUAUUUUCAAGUCUGUAUGUAAAGAGAUUUAUAUAUAUGUAUAUAAUAUUUCAAUAUAUUAGUAAAAGUAAAAAUACAAAGCAAAAAUGUGAAAAAGGAUAAAAAUAUAGCGCUGAAGACCUGCGGUCCGCGCUGGCCAACCCAUUCUGGUGGCUGCCUGAGGCUAGACAUGCUACUAUCGAGAGCAAACCUCCUAUGAGCAUCUACAACCGAACUCCCUAUUUUGACUGUCGGGCCGGCCUGAUUAUUAUCCGAUUAGUUUUUAAAUGUCUUUGUUUGGUCCUCUUUGGUUUAUGUUGUUUCUUCAUUCAUUUAACUGGUUUUUUGUUUUCUUUGUUUUUUCACCAGGUUUCUUCUUUAUUUCACGAUUUUCUUUGGUUUCUUAUUUGCCUUGUUUUUUUUAUCAGUUUUUAUGUUAACUAGAUCAUUGAUGGCGCGCAUUGCCGCGCCCGUCCAUUUUGAUGGUAGAAUGAUAGAAAUUGUCGUAAAUAUAUGGAGGCAAAAGCUAAACAAAACCAAAUUGUGAAUUACAUGAAAGUAAAAUAUGUUGAAAUAAGUUGUUCCAAGCAUGUUUCCCUUUUGUUUUGAUAUGUGAGGUAUUCCAAUCAGUAGUAAAGUAGAAAUUGAAAAGAGAAAAAUAUGUUUUGUUCACAAUAAUAAGAAGAAUUGAAAUUGCCCAACAUCUGAACUCUUUUGUGUCAGCUUAUAUACAUGAUGAUAUACUUACUAAAUAUCUCCACAAGCCUACCUCUAGAGCACACGCGUUCCUGCACCCAUAAAGUUUUUCAAUAAUAGUUUUUUUUGCCAAAAUAUGAAAGGUCAUGACAAAUCAGGUUAUAAAAAUCAUUAUAAUCUAAAAAUUCUAUCGUGUAGUUAACCAAACCAAACUAUUUUAUGCCAAAAUAUGAUAGGACUUUUUUUUGAAAAAUAAAACCACACCGAACUCAAAUGUAAGCUUACUACUUGAUCUAUCCUAUAAACUAUCGAUAUCUUGGUGUGUGAAUUGCACCUUAAAGAUAUACCCAUUAUCAAACAUGAGCCAAAUUGUAGUUGUAAUACGAUGACAUCUUGGUUUCCAACUUUGAUAGAGCAGAAUAGAAACACAUGAAAGAUAAACAAACAAACAUGAGCCGAAUUGUAGUUGUAAUAAGAUGAAAUAUUAUUUUCCAACUUUGAUAGAGCAGAAUAGAAACACAUGAAAGAUAACAAACAAGCCUACCCAAAUAGAAAUGCAAUAGUGCAUAAUACUAUAUAUUAGUCAUAGUAGUCAAUUUGUCCCCGCAAAAAAAAAAGGUCAUAGUCAAUUUGUACCACGGCUACCUUAAACUGAAAAUUAAAUAUGAACAACCAGCCAUGCAACAUCACCGGCACCACUAGUCUGCUAACAUCACAGCAUCGAAGUUCCAUCAAGAAAUUAAAAAUAUAAAGUUGCAUGGUUCAUACCUCGUACAUAGUACUAAUAAUACUGAACUUACCUGUACUUGAAGCAUCAGAAAUUUCACAUAACCAAAGAUCUUAUAUAGCACAGCUGCUAUAUAAAAUAACACAAAUCCGACUGUGUAGUCUCUGUUUUUUACACCUUGGCGUGAACCAACAGAUCAGGGUGAUUAUUCGAAAACUACAUUAGAGAAAAAACAAAGAUGUAGCUUCUUUUUCUUUCAUAGCUUCUGAUUUUGUAUAGGACAGACAUCUCAUUCCAGAAUCCAGAUUAUCACAAUCAUACUGAAUAGCACUCAAAUCACGUACUAACACUUGAACAUCCAACACCUCUCAGCUAGGGGAAAAGGCAACAAUCCUUUGGGUUCAUAUAAGUCAUAACACAGAGCAGUUCGCAACCAGUGGUGCUAUGUAUUUACAGUAGAGACGGGAGAUGCACCUUGGUGUUAAAAAGUUGGGGAGCCCAAGAACCAGUUUAGCCGACGAUACAAACACGACGUCCAGAUCGCCUGUAUUGACAGCGGCGGCAGCCGGCAACCAGUCCGACACUGCACGGACGAAAUCCCUCGUAUCACCGGGUUCCACUCCGAAGGGACACCAUGUCGAAUGCUGGAAGAAGUGGAGGCGGCGGUGGUAGCGUCACCGAGGACUGACCGGAGGCGCUGUAGCACAAUGCUACAUCCCUUCUCAUCUACUUCGGCCUGGACAGGCUGGAACGGUGUUGCGAGAGAGCCGGUGGCGCAAGCCGACGAGGGGAGUGGCUCCAAACUGACGCGACGAAGUCUGUCAAUCUCGCGUUCCGACCUCCUCACCCAUCGCCGUGUGAGGCCCCGUCGCCAUGAGAGGAGGACCGUAGUAGGAGUAACUGAGCUGCAGUUAUCGUCGCCGGCGAGUGGAGUACAAUUGACAGGGGCGAUUCGUUACCUUGUCACCGCCCCUUGGCGUCACCCGACGAGUCCUCUCCUGCCCACUCUGUCUCUUGGUUCGCAGGAACGAUUCAUCUUGACCGCAAACGUCUGUCCGCUGGCAUGGUCAACAACAUCAAGCACCUCGCACAGAUUGCGUCGACCGACCCGCGCCUCUUCCUUCCCAUGUGUGUGGUCCAUGUUUUUUUUUCUCGUUUGAUGAUGGACACAAAAGCGAUUACUACAGGCCCAAGGCCCAAUAGGCCCAAUUAACAGCAGAUGGUGGAUUUUGUUUCGGGAGCAGCGGCCAAAUCCAUGUGCGCGACCAGCACAGCCAAGGAAGCCCAGGCAGGAUUAGAGGAGGAUCCAAUGGCCAGAAACACCCACUAAUUGAGAUCCGACGGCUAAAAAGGGUAAUGGCCUGAGAGGGCUGCCGGUGUCAAAACCGGCCGAUCUCGGGUACGGGGUCCCGAACUGUACGUCUGAGGAUCGAAGGUAACAGGAGGCAGGGGACACGAUGUUUACCCAGGUUCGGGCCCUCUUAAUGGAGGUAAUACCCUACUUCCUGCUUGAUUGACUUUAAUGAGUAUAAAGGUUACGAGAGUUGAUCUACCUCGAGAUCGUAAUGGCUAAACCCUAGAUGUCUAGCCUGUAUGAUUGUGUUUUUUUCUCUCUACGGACUAAACCCUCCGAUUUAUAUAGACACCGGAGGGCCCUAGGGUUGUACAGAGUCGGUUUACAGAGAAAUGAAUCUUCACAUCCGAACGCCAAGCGUGCCAUCCACGCAAAGGAGAGUCCAUCCGGACAGGGGAGAAGAAGGCCUUCUAUCUUGUAUCUUCACAGCCCAUCAGUCCGGCCCAUAUCAUAUACCUCGGACGCCCGGGGACCCCCUAAUCCAGGACUCCCUCAGUAGCCCCUGAACCAGGAUUCAAUGACGAUGUGUCCGGCGCGCAGAUUGUCUUCGGCAUUGUAAGGCGGGUUCCUCCUCCGAAUACUUCAAAGUAGUUGACCAAAAGAACUAUAUCCGGCUCUGUACAAUAGUUACAACCCUGAACCACAAGGGCAAAAUACUUAAACAAAACAAGCCAUGUCUACUGACAGCUUUUCCGGCGAGACGUUACGUCCUGGCCUUAUUAUUAUUUCGAACCCUUUUUCAGCCUCCCGCUUCGCUUUUCGAGGCGCGGUCUUCAUUGACACGUCUUGUCAAAGAAGAGAUCGUGUCCCCUUAUUGCGGGAUUCUUAUCGAUACGGGUUUGGGUAAUCCAACCGUGCCAUUUGCACGACCCCUUGGGAAUAGGUGAGUUUUAAGGCUCGUGGGGGGACGCUCGAUAUUCACUGCCUUUAUAAGAAGAUAAGGAUCCAUCUUUUUACCCCCCGCCUUCUUCCUCCUCAGCCCAUCCGCCCUCGAGCUCCAGCGCCCAAGUUUCAAUCCUUUCCGUCCCCAGCAAACACUCCAGCCAUGUCCGGAUCUGGAGUGCAGGGCAAGUGGAUGGCCUCCUCCGUCACGUAGGGGAACAUCAAGGAACUCCGGGAAGCGGGGUACUUAGCCGCGGAAAUCGCCCACCGUCUCCCUGCCAAAAAGCAGAUCAUUCCCACCCCAGAGCCUAAUGAGAGGGUAGUGUUCAUCCCCCACUUCCUUCACGGACUAGGGUUUCCUCUCCACCCUUUCGUCCGCGGGCUCAUGUUCUAUUACGGGCUAGAUUUCCAUGAUCUAGCCCCGAAUUCCUUCCUCAACAUCUCGGCGUUCAUCAUCGUGUGUGAGGCGUUCCUCCGCAUUCCCCCCCCCCCCACUUUGGCCUGUGGCUCAAGGUCUUAAACGUGAACCCGAAAGUGGUCGAGGGUCAACACGCGGAGUGUGGCAGCGCCAUGGUGAGCAAGCUCCCCAACGUCACUUGGCCCAAGGGGACCUUCGUAGAGACCGUGAAGGGAUGGCAACAGGAGUGGUUCUACAUCACGGAACCCCGUGACACCAUAUGGGCCGCCACUCCCGAGUUCAAAUCCGGUCCUCCAAUGUAGCUUGCAUCAUGGAUUAACAAGGGCCUGGACUGGGCGUUGAUGUCUACUACACAACCUUCUUCUUAUAGACGUUGUUGGGCCUCCAAGUGCAGAGGUUUGUAGGACAGUAGCAAAUUUCCCUCAAGUGGAUGACCUAAGGUUUAUCAAUCCGUGGGAGGCAUAGGAUGAAGAUGGUCUCUCUCAAACAACCCUGCAACCAAAUAACAAUGAGUCUCUUGUGUCCCCAACACACCCAAUACAAUGGUAAAUUGUAUAGGUGCACUAGUUCGGCGAAGAGAUGGUGAUACAAGUGCAAUAUGGAUGGUAGAUAUAGGUUUUUGUAAUCUGAAAAUAUAAAAACAGCAAGGUAACUAAUGAUAAAAGUGAGCACAAACGGUAUUGCAAUGCGUUGAAACAAGGCCUAAGGUUCAUACUUUCACUAGUGCAAGUUCUCUCGACAAUAAUAACAUAAUUAGAUCAUAUAACAACCCCUCAACAUGCAACAAAGAGUCACUCCAAAGUCACUAAUGGCGGAGAACAAACGAAGAGAUUAUUGUAGGGUACGAAACCACCUCAAAGUUAUCCUUUCUGAUCGAUCUAUUCAAGAGUCUGUAGUAAAAUAACACGAAGCUAUUCUUUCGUUCGAUCUAUCCUAGAGUUCGUACUAGAAUAACACCUUAAGACACACAUCAACCAAAACCCUAAUGUCACCUAGAUACUCCAAUGUCACCACAAGUAUCCGUGGGUAUGAUUAUACGAUAUGCAUCUCACAAUCUCAGAUUCAUCUAUUCAAACCAACACAAAGUACUUCACAGUGCCCCAAAGUUUCUACCGGAGAGUCAAGACGAAAACGUGUGCCAACCCCUAUGCAUAAUUUCACAAGGUCACUAAACCCGCAAGUUGAUCACCAAAACAUACAUCAAGUAGAUCAUGUGAAUAUCCCAUUGUCACCACAGAUAAGCACAUGCAAGACAUACAUCAAGUGUUCUCAAAUCCUUAAAGACUCAAUCCGAUAAGAUAACUUCAAAGGGAAAACUCAAUCCAUUACAAGAGAGUAGAGGGGGAGAAACAUCAUAAGAUCCAACUAUAAUAGCAAAGCUCGCGAUACAUCAAGAUCAUGCGAAAUCAAGAACACGAGAGAGAGAGAGAGAUCAAACACAUAGCUACUAGUACAUACCCUCAGCCCCGAGGGUGACCUACUCCCUCCUCGUCAUGGAGAGCGCCGGGAUGAUGAAGAUGGCCACCGAUGAGGGAUCCCCCCUCCGGCAGGGUGCCGGAACAGGGCCCCGAUUGAUUUUUGGUGGCUACAGAGGCUUGCGGCGGCGGAACUCCCGAUCUAGGUUAUUUUCUGGAGGUUUCUGUAUUUAUAGGAAUUUUUGGCGUAGGUCUCACGUCAGGGGGGUCUCCGAGUCAUCCACGAGAUAGGGGGACGCGCCCCCACCCUCGUGGACGGCCCGGGGCUCUUCUGGCCCAACUCUUUUACUUCGGGGGCUUCUUUUGGUCCAUAAAAAAUCAUCAAAAAAUUGGCACGUCAAUUGGACUCCGUUUGGUAUUCCUUUUCUGUAAAACUCAAAAACAAGGAAAAAACAAAAACUGGCACUGGGCUCUAGGUUAAUAGGUUAGUCCCAAAAAUCAUAUAAAAUAGCAUAUAAAACAUCCUAGAUGGAUAAUAUAAUAGCAUGGAACAAUCAAAAAUUAUAGAUACGUUGGAGACGUAUCAAGCAUCCCCAAGCUUAAUUCCUACUCGUCCUCGAGUAGGUAAAUGAUAAAAACAGAAUUUUUGAUGUGGAAUGCUACCUAACAUAAUUUUCAAUGUAAUUUUCCUUAUUGUGGCAUGAAUGUUCAGAUCCGAAAGAUCCAAGACAAAAGUUUAAUAUUGACAUAAAAAUAAUAAUACUUCAAGCAUACUAACCAAGCAAUUAUGUCUUCUCAAAAUAACAUAGCCAAAGAAAGCUCAUCCCUACAAAAUCAUAUAGUUUGGCCAUGCUCCAUCUUCGUCACACAAAAUGCUCUCAUCAUGCACAACCCCGAUGACAAGCCAAGCAAUUGUUUCAUACUUUAGUAUUCUCAAACUUUUUCAACUUUCACGCAAUACAUGAGCGCGAGCCAUGGACAUAGCACUAUGGGUGGAAUAGAAUAUGAUGAUGGAGGUUGUGUGGAGAAGACAAAAAGGGAGAAAGUCUCACAUUGAUGCGGCUAAUCAACGGGCUAUGGAGAUGCCCAUCAAUUGAUGUCAAUGCGAGGAGUGGGGAUUGCCAUGCAACGGAUGCACUAGAGCUAUAAAUGUAUGAAAGCUCAACAAAAGAAACUAAGUGGGCGUGCAUCCAACUUGCUUGCUCACGAAGACCUAGUGCAUUUUGAGGAAGCCCAUCGUUGGAAUAUACAAGCCAAGUUCUAUAAUGAAAAAUUCCCACUAGUAUAUGAAAGUGACAAAAUAAGAGACUCUCUAUCAUGAAGAUCAUGGUGCUACUUUGAAGCACAAGUGUGGAAAAAGGAUAGUAAUAUUGUCCCUUCUCUCUUUUUCUCUCUUUUUUUGUUUGGGCCUUCUUUUUUUAUUUGGCAUUUUUUUGGGCCUUCUCUUUUUUUAUUUGGCCUUUCUCUUUUUUUUCCUCACAUAGGACAAUGCUCUAAUAAUGAUGAUCAUCACACUUCUAUUUAUUUACAACUCAAGGAUUACAACUCGAUACUAGAACAAAAUAUGACUCUAUAUGAGUGCCUCCGGCGGUGUACCGGGAUGUGCAAUGAAUCAAGAGUGACAUGUAUAAAAAAUUAUGAACGGUGGCUUUGCCACAAAUAUGAUGUCAACUACAUGAUCAUGCAAGGCAAUAUGACAAUGAUGAAGUGUGUCAUAAUAAACGGAACGGUGGAAAGUUGCAUGGCAAUGUAUCUCGGAAUGGCUAUGGAAAUGCCAUAAUAGGUAGGUAUGGUGGCUGUUUCGAGGAAGAUAUAAGGAGGUUUAUGUGUGAUAGAGCGUAUCGUAUCACGGGGUUUGGAUGCACCGGCGAAGUUUGCACCAACUCUCGAGGUGAGAAAGGGCAAUGCAUGGUACCGAAGAGGCUAGCAAUGAUGGAAGGGUGAGAGUGCGUAUAAUCCAUGGACUCAACAUUAGUCAUAAAGAACUCACAUACUUAUUGCAAAAAUCUACAAGUCAUCAAAACCAAGCACUACGCGCAUGCUCCUAGGGGGAUAGAUUGGUAGUAAAAGACCAUCGCUCGUCCCCGACCGCCACUCAUAAGGAAGGCAAUCAAAGAAACACCUCAUGCUUCAAAUUUGUCACACAACGGUUACCAUACGUGCAUGCUACGGGACUUGCAAACCUCAACACAAGUAUUUCUCAAUUUCACAAUUACUCAACUAGCACAACUCUAAUAUCACCAUCUUUAUAUCUCAAAACAAUUAUCAAGUAUCAAACUUCUCAUAGUUUUUAAUGCACUCUAUAUGAAAGUUUUUAUUAUACCCAUCUUGGAUGCCCAUCAUAUUAGGACUAAUUUUAUAACCAAAGCAAAUUACCAUGCUAUUCUAAAAGACUCUCAAAAUAAUAUAAGUGAAGCAUGAGAGAUCAAUAAUUUCUAUAAAAUAAAACCACCACCGUGAUCUAAAAAGAUAUAAGUGAAGCACUAGAGCAAACGACAAACUACUCCGAAAAAUAUAAGUGGAGAUCAAUGAGUAGUUGAAUAAUUAUGUAACUAUGUGAAGACUCUCUAACAUUUAAGAAUUUCAGAUCUUGGUAUUUUAUUCAAACAGCAAGCAAAAUAAAAUAAAAUGAUGCUCCAAGCAAAACACAUAUCAUGUGGUGAAUAAAAAUAUAGCUCCAAGUAAAGUUACCGAUGAACGAAGACGAAAGAGGGGAUGCCAUCCGGGGCAUCCCCAAGCUUAGGCUCUUGGUUGUCCUUGAAUAUUACCUUGGGGUUCCUUGGGCAUCCCCAAGCUUAGGCUCUUGCCAUUCCUUAUUCCAUAGUCCAUCGAAUCUUUACCCAAAAUUUGAAAACUUCACAACACAAAACUCAACAGAAAACUCGUAAGCUCUGUUAGUAUAAGAAAAUAAAUCACCACUUAGGUACUGUUGUGAACUCAUUCUAAAUUCAUAUUGGUGUAAUAUCUACUGUAUUCCAACUUCUCUAUGGUUCAUACCCUCCGAUACUACUCAUAGAUUCAUCAAAAUAAGCAAACAACACAUAGAAAACAGAAUCUGUCAAAAACAGAACAGUCUGUAGCAAUCUGUAUCAUUCAAAUACUUGUGUAACUCCAAAAAUUCUGAAAUAAAUUGGUGGACGUGAAGAAUUUGUCUAUUAAUAUUCUGCAAAAAUAAUCAACCUAAUAGCACUCUCCAGUAAAAAAUGGCAGCUAAUCUCGUGAGCGCAAAAGUUUCUGUUUUUUUACAGCAAGAUUGCAUAGACUUCACCCAAGUCUUCCCAAAGGUUCUACUUGGCACAAAGACUAAUUAAAACAUAAAACCACAUCUAAACAGAGGCUAUAUGAAUUAUUUAUUACUAAACAGGAGCAAAAUGCAAAGAACAAAAAUAAAAUUGGGUUGCCUCCCAACAAGCGCUAUCGUUUAACGCCCCUAGCUAGGCAUGAUGAUUUCAAUGAUGCUCACAUAAAAGAUAAGGAUUGAAACAUAAAGAGAGCAUAAUGAAGAAUAUGACUAGCACAUUUAAGUCUAACCCACUUCCUAUGCAUAGGGAUUUUGUGAUCAAACAACUUAUGGGAACAAUAAUCAACUAGCAUAGGAAGGCAAAACAAGCAUAACUUCAAAACUUUAAGCACAUAGAGAGGAAACUUGAUAUUAUUGCAAUUCCUACAAGCAUAUGUUCCUCCCUCAUAAUAAUUUUCAGUAUCAUCAUGAAUGAAUUCAACAAUAUAACCAUCACAUAAAGCAUUCUUUUCAUGAUCUACGAGCAUAGAAUUUUUAUUACUCUCCACAUAAGCAAAUUUCUUCUCAUGAAUAAUAGUGGGAGCAAACUCAACAAAAUAACUAUCAUGUGAGGCAUAAUCCAAUUGAAAACUAAAAUCAUGAUGACAAGUUUCAUGGUUAUCAUUAUUCUUCAUAGCAUACAUGUCAUCACAAUAAUCAUCAUAGAUAGCAACUUUAUUCUCAUAAUCAAUUGGAACCUCUUCCGAAAUAGUGGAUUCAUCACUAAAUAAAGUCAUGACCUCUCCAAAUCCACUUUCAUAAUUAUCACAAUAAGAUUCAACACCCUUAAAAAUAGUGGGAUCAUUACUUCCUAAAGUUGACACUCUUCCAAACCCACUUUCAUCAAUAUAAUCAUCAUAAAUAGGAGGCAUGCUAUCAUCAUAAUAAAUUUGCUCAUCAAAACUUGGGGGACAAAAAAUAUCAUCUUCGUCAAACAUAGCAUCCCCAAGCUUGUGGCUUUGCAUAUCUUUAGCAUCAUGGAUAUUCAAAGAAUUCGUACUCACAUCAUUGCAAUCAUGCUCAUCAUUCAAAGAUUUAGUGCCAAACAUUCUAAUGCAUUCUUCCUCUAGCAAUUGAGCACAAUUAUCGGAAUCCUUAUUUUCAUGGAAGACAUUAAAAAGAUGAAGCAUAUGAGGCACCCUCAAUUCCAUUUUUUUGUAGUUUUCUUUUAUAGACUAAACUAGUGAUAAAACAAGAAACUAAAAGAUUCGAUUGCAAGAUCUAAAGAUAUACCUUCAAGCACUCACCUCCCCGGCAACGGCGCCAGAAAUUGCUUGAUGUCUACUACACAACCUUCUUCUUGUAGACGUUGUUGGGCCUCCAAGUGCAGAGGUUUCUAGGACAGUAGCAAAUAUCCCUCAAGUGGAUGACCUAAGAUUUAUCAAUCCGUGGGAGGCGUAGGAUGAAGAUGGUCUCUCUCAAACAACCCUGCAACCAAAUAACAAUGAGUCUCUUGUGUCCCCAACACACCCAAUACAAUGGUAAAUUGUAUAGGUGCACUAGUUCGGCGAAGAGAUGGUGAUACAAGUGCAAUAUGGAUGGUAGAUAUAGGUUUUUGUAAUCUGAAAAUAUAAAAACAGCAAGGUAACUAAUGAUAAAAGUGAGCACAAACGGUAUUGCAAUGCGUUGAAACAAGGCCUAAGGUUCAUACUUUCACUAGUGCAAGUUCUCUCGACAAUAAUAACAUAAUUAGAUCAUAUAACAAUCCCUCAACAUGCAACAAAGAGUCACUCCGAAGUCACUAAUAGCGGAGAACAAACGAAGAGAUUAUUGUAGGGUACGAAACCACCUCAAAGUUAUCCUUUCUGAUCGAUCUAUUCAAGAGUCCGUAGUAAAAUAACACGAAGCUAUUCUUUCCGUUCGAUCAAUCCUUGAGUUCGUACUAGAAUAACACCUUAAGACACACAUCAACCAAAACCCUAAUGUCACCUAGAUACUCCAAUGUCACCACAAGUAUCCGUGGGUAUGAUUAUACGAUAUGCAUCACACAAUCUCAGAUUCAUCUAUUCAAACCAACACAAAGUACUUCAAAGAGUGCCCCAAAGUUUCUACCGGAGAGUCAAGACGAAAACGUGUGCCAACCCCUAUGCAUAAUUUCACAAGGUCACUAAACCCGCAAGUUGAUCACCAAAACAUACAUCAAGUAGAUCAUGUGAAUAUCCCAUUGUCACCACAGAUAAGCACAUGCAAGACAUACAUCAAGUGUUCUCAAAUCCUUAAAGACUCAAUCCGAUAAGAUAACUUCAAAGGGAAAACUCAAUCCAUUCCAAGAGAGUAGAGGGGGAGAAACAUCAUAAGAUCCAACUAUAAUAGCAAAGCUCGCGAUACAUCAAGAUCAUGCGAAAUCAAGAACACGAGAGAGAGAGAGAGAUCAAACACAUAGCUACUAGUACAUACCCUCAGCCCCGAGGGUGACCUACUCCCUCCUCGUCAUGGAGAGCGCCGGGAUGAUGAAGAUGGCCACCGAUGAGGGAUCCCCCCUCCGGCAGGGUGCCGGAACAGGGCCCCGAUUGAUUUUUGGUGGCUACAGAGGCUUGCGGCGGCGGAACUCCCGAUCUAGGUUAUUUUCUGGAGGUUUCUGUAUUUAUAGGAAUUUUUGGCGUAGGUCUCACGUCAGGGGGGGGGUCUCCGAGUCGUCCACGAGAUAGGGGGACGUGCCCCCCACCCUCGUGGACGGCCCGGGGCUCUUCUGGCCCAACUCUUUUACUCCAGGGGCUUCUUUUGGUCCAUAAAAAUCAUCAAAAAAUUGGCACGUCAAUUGGACUCCGUUUGGUAUUCCUUUUUUGUAAAACUCAAAAACAAGGAAAAAACAGAAACUGGCACUGGGCUCUAGGUUAAUAGGUUAGUCCCAAAAAUCAUAUAAAAUAGCAUAUAAAUGCAUAUAAAACAUCCUAGAUGGAUAAUAUAUAUAAUAGCAUGGAACACUCAAAAAUUAUAGAUACGUUGGAGACGUAUCAGACGUCGUCCGACGAGGUGAUGACGCUGCAGAAGCGCGUCAAGAGCAUGAUGGAGAAGAACACUAGUCUUGCCAACGUGAUCCAGGUGAUGCUUUUUCGUCGGAUUCUCCCCUGCCAACGUCGGACUCUCCAUAUGUGGCAGUUUGAUCCGGUCAGUCCCCGGACCUUGCAGCGGUUCUUCGGCACAACGCACGAAGAUAUAUGGAAGCUGCUUUUCAAGGCCCAGAAGUUGUGGCCGAAAACGACCGAAGACCUCGGCCUCGACUGCGCUCAUCCGGCUACUCCAGUAAGUUUUUCAGGUUUCCAAACGUAUCCUCAACUUGUAGAUCCAAGGAGUAUGCUAAGCCUUCCCCUCAUCCUUCAGGGCUGAACGAAGAAGGCGGGGCGGAUCCGGCGCCGGAGAAGAAGGCCAAGAAGAAGGGCAAGGAGGCCAGAAGUGGCCUUUGCUGUAAAGGUACUUCAGACAUAGCGUUCGAACAUACCGAAGCUCUCUCCUCCCACGAGGGAAAUGAAGACGAAGAGGAAGAGGAGGAGAGCAAUUCUCCCCUUAAGGGGGGUAAGAAGAAAAGGGGGGCUUCCGUGGACCUAGAGGCGGAGGCGUCCAAGAAGGGGAAGAUCUCCCUUUCGGACAAUUCGGAAUCGGACGCCGAAGCCGUCCCUGAGUGGCACCCCAGGCUGAAGCCCCUGGCCGAAUCGUAAGUAUUCAAAGAUACUGUAUAUAUCCAUUUUUUAUAAAUUGUAGGAUGACAUAUCAUCUAUGUGUUUCAGUCCGGCCCGUGAUCUCCCCCAACAAUCAUCGUCCUCGGGGAAUUCUCUGGCACCGGAGAUGAUGGAGAGUGAAACGCCUCCGCGAGCCUCUCCACCUCAUGCCGCGGACGACACCGAGGUGUUGUCCCAGAGGACCUCUCUGGGCCAGGGAGAGGUGCGGAAGGCCGCAGAAACGGCGCCAGAGGGUAAUGCCUCGGUUGCCGAAAACAUGGGGGGCACAACCCCCAUGGAAACUGAUGACGGGGGCCCGGACCAGUCCGGCCCCCAGCCGAAUACGACUCUGGAGACCCACGUGGCUCCGGAAUCGAGUGAGCAGCCCCCUUUGAAGGAGGGGGGAGCUCCGACUCCACCGACGACCUCCAUCAAUCCAGAGGUGUCACAACCCUAGUCAGUGCAUGCAUUAGAGUGUUUGCAGCAUGUUUAAAUUUCAGUUAAACUUGAAAUGGGGAUGUUCAAACCCUAGCACCAAAUGGAACUCAACUAGGUUCAAUCCAAAAUCUUUUUCAAAGAACCCAAGAUGCCCUUUGAAAAUGUUCAUGAUUUGUCAUAAAGGAGAAAACCUCUGCCAAAAAUGAUGAAUAUAUUUCUAGGACAUUCUGGAUCUUUGAAUUAACUCAUAUCGUAUUUGAAUUGGAGCAUUUAAAUCCUAUAAAUAUUUUUAAAUGCUCUAAUAAUUCUGAAACUAGUUUUGGGUUGUUGGAAAUAAUCCAAACACUGCCCACAAUUAUUUUCAGGAUUUUACAAAAUGGAUUAGUAUUUUUACUAAUUCAAAACAGAAUAAAAGAAAUAGAAAACUGAAACAAAAGGAAAAGAGAGCUUACCUGUAACUUACCUGGACCUACUACCUGUGCAGCCCACUUGGCAGCCCAUCCAACUGGCCCAGCCCACCAGAAGCCCCACCAUCUUCAACCUCUGCCAGUAGGCAGAGGCGUGUCGACGCGCGCGCGCCCGAGCUCCACCUCCUGCUUCCACCUCCUGCUUCCCCCUCGCGCUGUCUCCGCGCCACAGGAACGGCCUCGACCCCCUCUGCCUCUCCCCUCACUCUAGAGCUCUCUCCCUCUCCUCUAGCUCCCUCCUCGCAGCACCACCGAACACGCCGUCGCCGCCGCUUGCUGCUGUUGCGGCCACCGCCACGUCCUCGCCCCUCCGUCGUGUCCACGAGCUCCGCGCCGUCGUCCUCGUCUUCUUCGUCAAGCCGUGCGUCUCUGGAUGCCCUGUGGAGCCGCCAUCGCCGUCGUCUUCACCUCCGGCCGUCCGAGAUCGCCGUCGCUGUUUUGCCCGCAUUGGACCUCCACCGAGCUUGCUGACGCCUUCGUCGGAUCCGCUGUGAGCCCCGCUGCCGUUUCCCCCUCUAUGUUUUGUCACUCGCGCGCCGUAGCCGUGCUAACCACCGGACCCGAGCGGUCGCGCCGCCGUGGAUCCUCACCAUCAUGGCCAGAGCCACCGCAGCUCGCGCCCGCGCAUGCCAUCAUGCUCAGGAGCCUCCCAGAAGACCAAAGCCGCCGCCCGCAGCUCCCGCAGUGCCCUGCAGCACCCCGCGCACACCUGGCCGUGCUCCGGCCGCCGCCUUGAGCUCGUUCCCAGCGAGCUCAGGCCACCCCCGCCUCUCCCGCUUGCUCCAGACGACACGGACGAGCCCUGGCUCCUCGCCCGUGGCCUCCGCCGCCCAAAUGGUCGCCGGAGCGACGAACCCGACGCGCUCUGCCGCGUUCGGCCUCGCCGGCGACUAACCGCCGGUCAAACCGGUCAACCCGCGCUAAUUAACCCCGCCCUCCGUGACACUGACAGGCGGGGCCCACGACCUAACUAACUAGCUAACAAAAAUAGAUUAAGGUUAAUCUAAUCACAGUGGCCCCACGCGUCGGCGUUGACCUUGCUGACGUGGCCGUUGACCGGACCCACCUGUCUGUGUCACUAAUUGUCACUGGGCCACUGACUAGUGGACCCCACUGGUCAAGUUUGACCUGUACCAUCGCCUUUGACUGCUGACGUCACCCUAACGUAAUGCUGACGCAACAAAUCAUUUACUGGAUUUAUUCUUAUUCAGGAAAUUCCAGAAAAUGCCCAAAACUUCUAAAAAUCAUAGAAAUUAAUCUGUAACUCCAAAUGCAAAGAUUUAUAUAUGAAAAAUGAUAAAAAAAUCCAAUCUUUCCAUCUGUACUGGUUUCAUGCAUGUUAAAGCAACUUAACCUUGCUGUUUAGUGCAAACAUGAUAAUGCACUAUUUAAAUUCAUAAGUUGAGUUUGGGAUUGAACCUUUGGUUCAAAAUGACUCAAACCCAGCUGGUUGUAGUUGCAUUAGCCCAACACACUCAUUUUGCCAUGUCAUGAUCAUGCAUCAUAUUGUGCAUCGCAUUGAUUGUAUUUCUUCUCUAUUGCCGGUAUUUGUCCCCUCUCGGUAGACGAUGUUCCGACGUUGUGAUCGUUGACACUGAUGAAGACUCAAUGCUAUCUUCAGAAGAGCCAGGCAAGCAAAACCCCCCUUGUUCAUUCCGAUGCAAUCCCACUCUCCCGCUUUUGCUCUCUUUUACUGCAUUAGGACAACAACGAUUCAACUGUUACAUGCUAUGGUAGUUGAACCCCUUUACUCUACAUGACCUAUCAUUGCCACAGUAAAUAGAUGAAACCCACUAGCAUGAGUAGGAGUUGUUUGAGCCCUGAUGUGCCUACUCAUUCAUGCUUGUUUGUCUAUCCUGCUACUGCUUAGAGUUGAGUCGGGUCUGAUUCAUCGGGGAUGAAUUGGAAUGGUGAUGAACAUGUCCUACUGUGUGUGAGCUAAGUGUGUGAACAUGAUUUGGUAAAGGUAGUGGUGAGAGGCCAUGUAGGAGUACAUGGUGGGUUGUCUCAUUGAAACCGUCCUCAGGAACUGAGCUCUGUGUUUGUGAUCCAUGAACAGCUACUACCACACGUUGGGCCCUGAAAUAUGACCGUGCUCGACUUAUUAACCGCCCCUGUCCUCUGUCCAGGAGUUGCAACUAGUUUCUGGUGUUUGUAGGAUAUGUGUUGGAGGUCGUGCGUAGCGCUGACCCUAGGGGUGGGCUAUGAUGCGGUAGAUACACCGUGGCACGGUGUACCGAGUGCCCGUUUGGUGUCUCGGGAACCCUACACACAUCGUUUGGGGCUGUGAGCGAAACCCCGGCCGGAUCUCCUCGCGGAUGGAACCCGAAUAGGUGAUAAACCUGGACUAGAGACUUGUGUGGUUAGUUAGGUCGUGGUCUACACCCACGUCGGCUUUCGCUUGAAGUCUGCCGAGCACAUGUCGUGUGCAGACGCUAAGUGGUGGAAACAUGUGUGAAGAAGUACACCCCUGCAGGGUUAUAAAUGAUCUAUUCGAAUAGCCGUGUCCGCGGUAAAGGACUUCUGGAUUGCCUGUACAGUUCAUAGAUAACUUGAAGUGGAUACUCUAAAACUCGCAAGAUAAGUGUGAGUGCUAUGGAUGGCGUUCUCGUCAGGAGACGGGAGCGGAUCCAUAGUGGUGUAUUGAUUGGUGAAUAUGUGGACUCGUGUGCGCCACCUCAAAAGAGUUACUUGCAGUCGUAGUUCAGGAUAGCCACUGAGUCAAAGCUGGCUUGCUGAAGUUAAACUCCACCACCCCCUUUGUUGAUACCGAUGCAUAUGUAGAUAGUUCUGAUGUAAGUCUUGCUGGGUACAUUUGUACUCACGUUUGCCUAUUUUAUGUUUUGCAGAGAGACUUCAGUCUCGUUAGUAGUUCCGCGUGGACUUCGACGUUUAGCUUGUUACCUCAGCUACGAUCUUGUGCCCUCGGCAGGGUCUUGUAGAUAGUCAGGCUUCUCGGCCUUCUUCAUUUGUAGUUGUCUGUACUUAGACAAGUUAAGCUUCCGCAUGUGCUUGUUGCUUGUAUGCUCUGUAUGUUGGGGUCAUGAGACCCAUGUUUGUAAUACUUGGCUCCUCGGAGCCUAAUGAAUAAAUACUCUUAGUCGUAGAUGUUGGAAAUAUGCCCUAGAGGCAAUAAUAAAUGGUUAUUAUUAUAUUUCUUUGUUCAUGGUAAUUGUCUAUUAUUCAUGCUAUAAUUGUAUUGUCCGGAAAUCGUGAUACAUGUGUGAAUACAUAGACCACAACCUGUCCCUAGUAAGCCUCUAGUUGACUAGCUCGUUGAUCAACAGAUAGUCACGGUUUCCUGACUAUGGACAUUGGAUGUCAUUGAUAACGGGAUCACAUCAUUAGGAGAAUGAUGUGAUGGACAAGACCCAACUUAAGCAUAGCAUAAAAGAUCGUGUAGUUUCGUUUGCUAGAGCUUUUCCAAUGUCAAGUAUCUUUUCCUUAGACCAUGAGAUCGUGCAACUCCCGGAUACCGUAGGAGUGCUUUGGGUGUGCCAAUCGUCACAACGUAACUGGGUGACUAUAAAGGUGCAUUACGGGUAUCUCCGAAAGUGUCUGUUGGGUUGGCACGGAUCGAGACUGCGAUUUGUCGCUCCGUGUGACGGAGAGGUAUCUCUGGGCCCACUCGGUAAUGCAUCAUCAUAAUGAGCUCAAUGUGACUAAGGCGUUAGUCACGGGAUCAUGCAUUGCGGUACGAGUAAAGAGACUUGCCGGUAACGAGAUUGAACAAGGUAUUGGGAUACCGACGAUCGAAUCUCGGGCAAGUAACAUACCGAUUGACAAAGGGAAUUGUAUACGGGAUUGAUUGAAUCCUCGACACCGUGGUUCAUCCGAUGAGAUCAUCGUGGAACAUGUGGGAGCCAACAUGGGUAUCCAGAUCCCGCUGUUGGUUAUUGACCGGAGAGGCGUCUCGGUCAUGUCUGCAUGCCUCCCGAACCCGUAGGGUCUACACACUUAAGGUCCGGUGACGCUAGGGUUGUAGAGAUAUAUGUAUGCGGAAACCCGAAAGUUGUUCGGAGUCCCGGAUGAGAUCCCGGACGUCACGAGAGGUUCCGGAAUGGUCCGGAGGUGAAGAAUUAUAUAUAGGAAGUCCAGUUUCGGCCACCGGGAAAGUUUCGGGGGUUAUCGGUAUUGUACCGGGACCACCGGGUGGGGCCACCUGUCCCGGAGGGCCCCGUGGGCUGAAAGUGGAAGGGAACCAGCCCCUAGUGGGCUGGGGCGCCCCCCUUGGGCCUCCCCCCUGCGCCUAGGGUUGGGAACCCUAAGGGGGGAAGUUCCCCCUUGCCUUGGGGGGCAAGGCAACCCCUUCCCCCCCUUGUGGCCGCCGCCCCCCUUGAGAUCCCAUCUCUUGGGGCUGGCGCACCCCCCCAGGGGCCUAUAUAAAGGGGGGGGAGGGAGGGAAGCACACAACAGCCUUGGGCGCCUCCCUCCUCCCCUGCAACACCUCUCUCUCUCUCGUAGAAGCUCGGCGAAGCCCUGCACGAGACCCGCUACAUCCACCACCACGCCGUCGUGCUGCUGGAUCUCCAUCAACCUCUCCUUCCCCCUUGCUGGAUCAAGAAGGAGGAGACGUCGCUGCACCGUACGUGUGUUGAACGUGGAGGUGCCGUCCGUUCGGCACUCGGUCAUCGGUGAUUUGGAUCACGGCGAGUACGACUCCGUCAUCCACGUUCAUUGGAACGCUUCCGCUCGCGAUCUACAAGGGUAUGUAGAUGCACUCCCUUCCCCUCGUUGCUAGUAGACUCCAUAGAUGCAUAUUGGUGAACGUAGGAAAAUUUUAAAAUUAUGCUACGAUUCCCAACAGUGGCAUCAUGAGCCAGGUUUAUGCGUAGUUACUAUGCACGAGUAGAACACAAAGCAGUUGUGGGCGUUGAGUUUGCUAAUUCUUCUUGCCGCUACUAGUCGUUUCUUGUUUCGGCGGCAUUGUAGGAUGAAGCGGCCCGGACCGACCUUACACGUACGCUUACGUGAGACAGGUUCCACCGACUGACAUGCACUAGUUGCAUAAGGUGGCUAGCGGGUGUCUGUCUCUCCUACUUUAGUCGGAACAGAUUCGAUGAAAAGGGUCCUUAUGAAGGGUAAAUAGAAAUUGGCAAAUCACGUUGUGGUCAUACGUAGGUAAGAAAUCGUUCUUGCUAGAAACCUACAAACCACGUAAAAAAACUUGCAACAACAAUUAGAGGACGUCUAACUUGUUUUUGCAGCAAGUGCUAUGUGAUGUGAUAUGGCCAGAAGAUGUGAUGAAUGAUAUGUGAUGUAUGAGAUUGAUCAUAUUCUUGUAAUAGGAAUCACGACUUGCAUGUCGAUGAGUAUGACAACCGGCAGGAGCCAUAGGAGUUGUCUUUAUUAUUUUGUAUGACCUGCGUGUCAUUAAAUAAACGCCAUGUAAAUUACUUUACUUUAUUGCUAAACGCGUUAGCCAUAGAAGUAGAAGUAAUCGUUGGCGUGACGACUUCAUGAAGACACAAUGAUGGAGAUCAUGAUGAUGGAGAUCAUGGUGUCAUGCCGGUGACAAAGAUGAUCAUGGUGCCCCGAAGAUGGAGAUCAAAGGAGCAUGAUGAUAUUGGCCAUAUCAUGUCACUAUUUGAUUGCAUGUGAUGUUUAUCAUGUUUUUGCAUCUUAUUUGCUUAGAACGACGGUAGCAAGUAGGAUGAUCCCUUAUAAUAAUUUCAAGAAAGUGUUCACCCUAACUGUGCACCGUUGCGAAGGUUCGCUGUUUCGAAGCACCACGUGAUGAUCGGGUGUGAUAGAUUCUAACGUUCGAAUACAACGGGUGUUGACGAGCCUAGCAUGUACAGACAUGGCCUCGGAACACACGCAAUACGCUUAGGUUCACUUGACGAGCCUAGCAUGUACAGACAUGGCCUCGGAACACGGAGGACCGAAAGGUCGAGCAUGAGUCGUAUAGAAGAUACGAUCAACAUGGAGAUGUUUACCGAUCUUGACUAGUCCGUCUCACGUGAUGAUCGGACACGGCCUAGUCGAAUUCGGAUCAUGUUUCACUUAGAUGACUAGAGGAAUGUCUAUCUGAGUGGGAUUUCAUUAAAUAAUUUGAUUAUAUGAACUUAAUUAUCAUGAACUUAGUCUAAAUCUUUACACUAUGUAUUGUAGAUCAAAUGGCCCACGUUGUCCUCAAUUUCAACGCGUUCCUAGAGAAAACCAAGCUGAAAGAUGAUGGCAGCAACUAUACGGACUGGGUCCGGAACUUGAGGAUCAUCCUCAUAGCAGCCAAGAAAGAUUAUGUCUUAGAAGCACCGCUAGGUGAAGCACCAAUCCCUGAGAACCAAGACGUUAUGAACGCUUGGCAGCAGCGUGCUGAUGAUUACUCCCUCGUUCAGUGCGGCAUGCUUUACAGCUUAGAACCGGGUCUCCAAAAGCGUUUUGAGAAACAUGGAGCAUAUGAGAUGUUCGAGGAGCUGAAACUGGUUUUUCAAGCUCAUGCCCGGGUCGAGAGAUAUGAUGUCUCCCACAAGUUCUUCAGCUGUAAAAUGGAGGAGAACAGUUCUGUUAGUGAGCACAUACUCAGAAUGUCUGGGUUGCACAACCGCUUGUCUCAGCUGGGAGUUAAUCUCCCGGAUGAUGCGGUCAUUGACAGAAUCCUCCAGUCGCUUCCACCAAGCUACAAGAGCUUUGUGAUGAACUACAAUAUGCAGGGGAUGGAAAAGACCAUUCCCGAGGUAUAUUCAAUGCUGAAAUCAGCUGAGGUAGAGAUCAGAAAAUAACAUCAAGUGUUGAUGGUGAAUAAAACCACUAAGUUCAAGAAGGGCAAGGGUAAGAAGAACUUCAAGAUGGACGGCAAGGGAGUUGCCGCGCCCGGUAAACCAGUUACUGGGAAGAAGUCAAAGCAUGGACCCAAGCCUGAGACUGAGUGCUUUUAUUGCAAGGGAAGUGGUCACUGGAAGCGGAACUGCCCCAAAUACUUAGCGGACAAGAAGGCCGGCAACGCCAAAGGUAUAUGUGAUAUACAUGUAAUUGAUGUGUACCUUACCAGUACUCGUAGUAGCUCCUGGGUAUUUGAUACCGGUGCGGUUGCUCAUAUUUGUAACUCAAAGCAGGAACUACGGAAUAAACGGAGACUGGCAAAGGACGAGGUGACGAUGCGCGUCGGGAAUGGUUCCAAGGUCGAUGUGAUCGCCGUCGGCACGCUACCUCUGCAUCUACCCACAGGAUUAGUUUUAAACCUCAAUAAUUGUUAUUUAGUGCCAGCUUUAAGCAUGAACAUUGUAUCUGGAUCUCGUUUAAUUCGAGAUGGCUACUCAUUUAAAUCCGAGAAUAAUGGUUGUUCUAUUUAUUUGAGAGAUAUGUUUUAUGGUCAUGCCCCGCUAGUCAAUGGUUUAUUUUUGAUGAAUCUCGAACGUGAUGUUACACAUGUUCAUAGUGUGAAUACCAAAAGAUGUAAAGUUGAUAACGAUAGUCCCACAUACUUGUGGCACUGCCGCCUUGGUCACAUUGGUGUCAAGCGCAUGAAGAAGCUCCAUGCAGAUGGACUUUUGGAGUCUCUUGAUUACGAAUCAUUUGACACGUGCGAACCAUGCCUCAUGGGUAAGAUGACCAAGACUCCGUUCUCCGAAACAAUGGAGCGAGCAACCAACUUAUUGGAAAUCAUACAUACCGAUGUGUGUGGUCCAAUGAGUGUUGAGGCUCGCGGAGGAUAUCGUUAUGUUCUCACUCUCACUGAUGAUUUAAGUAGAUAUGGGUAUGUCUACCUAAUGAAACACAAGUCUGAAACCUUUGAAAAGUUCAAGGAAUUUCAGAGUGAAGUUGAGAAUCAACGUGACAGGAAAAUAAAAUUCUUACGAUCAGAUCGUGGUGGAGAAUAUUUAAGUCACGAGUUUGGUGCACACUUAAGGAAAUGUGGAAUAGUUUCACAACUCACGCCGCCUGGAACACCUCAGAGAAACGGUGUGUCCGAACGUCGUAAUCGCACUCUAUUGGAUAUGGUGCGAUCUAUGAUGUCUCUUACCGAUUUACCGCUCUCAUUUUGGGGCUAUGCUUUAGAGACUGCCGCAUUCACUUUAAAUAGGGCACCGUCGAAAUCCGUUGAGACGACACCGUAUGAAUUAUGGUUUGGGAAGAAACCUAAGCUGUCGUUUCUAAAAGUUUGGGGAUGCGAUGCUUAUGUCAAGAAACUUCAACCUGAAAAGCUCGAACCCAAGUCGGAAAAAUGUGUCUUCAUAGGAUACCCUAAGGAAACUAUUGGGUAUACCUUCUACCUCAGAUCCGAAGGCAAGAUCUUUGUUGCCAAGAACGGGUCCUUUCUGGAGAAGGAGUUUCUCUCGAAAGAAUUGAGUGGGAGGAAAGUGGAACUUGAUGAGGUGAUAGUCACCCCUUCCGAACCGGAAAGUAGCGCAGCGCGGGAAAAUGUUCCUGUGGUGCCUACACCGACUGGGGAGGAAGUUAAUGAUGAUGAUCAUGAAGCUUCGGAUCAAGUUACUGAACUUCGUAGGUCCACAAGGACACGUUCCGCACCAGAGUGGUACGGCAACCCUGUCCUGGAAAUCAUGUUGUUAGACAACGGUGAACCUUCGAACUAUGAAGAAGCGAUGGCGGGCCCGGAUUCCGACAAAUGGCUAGAAGCCAUGAAAUCCGAGAUAGAAUCCAUGUAUGAAAACAAAGUAUGGACUUUGACUGACUUGCCCGAUGAGCGGCGAGCCAUAGAAAACAAAUGGAUCUUUAAGAAGAAGACGGACGCAGAUGGUAAUGUGACCAUCUACAAAGCUCGACUGGUCGCUAAGGGUUAUCGACAAGUUCAAGGGGUUGACUACGAUGAGACUUUCUCACCCGUAGCGAAGCUGAAGUCCGUCUGAAUCAUGUUAGCAAUUGCCGCAUACUAUGAUUAUGAGAUAUGGCAGAUGGACGUCAAAACGGCAUUCCUUAACGGCUUCAUUAAGGAAGAGUUGUAUAUGAUGCAGCCGGAAGGUUUUGUCGAUCCUAAGAAUGCUAACAAAGUAUGCAAGCUCCAACGCUCAAUCUAUGGGCUGGUGCAAGCAUCUCGGAGUUGGAACAUUCGCUUUGAUGAGAUGAUCAAAGCGUUUGGGUUUACACAGACUUAUGGAGAAGCCUGUGUUUACAAGAAAGUGAGUGGGAGCUCUGUAGCAUUUCUCAUAUUAUAUGUGGAUGACAUAUUAUUGAUGGGAAAUGAUAUAGAAUUCUUGGAAAGUAUAAAGGCCUAUUUGAAUAAGUGUUUUUCAAUGAAGGACCUUGGAGAAGCUGCUUAUAUAUUAGGCAUCAAGAUCUAUAGAGAUAGAUCAAGACGCCUCAUUGGUCUUUCACAGAGUACAUACCUUGACAAGAUAUUGAAGAAGUUCAGUAUGGAUCAGUCCAAGAAGGGGUUCUUGCCUGUAUUGCAAGGUGUGCAAUUGAGCACGGCUCAAUGCCCGACCACGGCAAAAGAUAUAGAAGAGAUGAGUGUCAUCCCCUAUGCCUCGGCCAUAGGGUCUAUUAUGUAUGCCAUGCUGUGUACCAGACCUGAUGUAAACCUUGCCGUAAGUUUGGUAGGAAGGUACCAAAGUAAUCCCGGCAAGGAACACUGGACAGCGGUCAAGAAUAUCCUGAAGUACCUGAAGAGGACUAAGGAUAUGUUUCUCGUUUAUGGAGGUGACGAAGAGCUCGUCGUAAAGGGUUACGUCGACGCUAGCUUCGACACAGAUCUGGAUGACUCGAAGUCACAGACCGGAUACGUGUAUAUAUUGAAUAGAGGAGCAGUAAGCUGGUGCAGUUGCAAGCAAAGCAUCGUGGCGGGAUCUACAUGUGAAGCGGAAUACAUGGCAGCCUCGGAGGCAGCACAGGAAGCAGUCUGGAUGAAGGAGUUCAUUACCGACCUAGGGGUGAUUCCCAAUGCGUCGGGCCCAAUGACUCUCUUCUGUGACAACACUGGAGCUAUUGCCCUUGCGAAGGAGCCCAGGUUUCACAGGAAGACCAGGCAUAUCAAGCGUCGCUUCAACUCCAUUCGUGAAAGUGUUCAAAAUGGAGACAUAGAUAUUUGUAAAGUACAUACGGACCUAAAUGUAGCAGAUCCGUUGACUAAACCUCUCCCUAGAGCAAAACAUGAUCAACACCAGGACGCAAUGGGUGUUCGAUUCAUCACAAUGUAACUAGAUUAUUGACUCUAGUGCAAGUGGGAGACUGUUGGAAAUAUGCCCUAGAGGCAAUAAUAAAUGGUUAUUAUUAUAUUUCUUUGUUCAUGGUAAUUGUCUAUUAUUCAUGCUAUAAUUGUGUUGUCCGGAAAUCGUGAUACAUAUGUGAAUACAUAGACCACAACCUGUCCCUAGUAAGCCUCUAGUUGACUAGCUCGUUGAUAAACAGAUAGUCACGGUUUCCUGACUAUGGACAUUGGAUGUCAUUGAUAACGGGAUCACAUCAUUAGGAGAAUGAUGUGAUGGACAAGACCCAACUUAAGCAUAGCAUAAAAGAUCGUGUAGUUUCGUUUGCUAGAGCUUUUCCAAUGUCAAGUAUCUUUUCCUUAGACCAUGAGAUCGUGCAACUCCCGGAUACCGUAGGAGUGCUUUGGGUGUGCCAAACGUCACAACGUAACUGGGUGACUAUAAAGGUGCAUUACGGGUAUCUCCGAAAGUGUCUGUUGGGUUGGCACGGAUCGAGACUAGGAUUUGUCGCUCCGUGUGACGGAGAGGUAUCUCUGGGCCCACUCGGUAAUGCAUCAUCAUAAUGAGCUCAAUGUGACUAAGGCGUUAGUCACGGGAUCAUGCAUUGCGGUACGAGUAAAGAGACUUGCCGGUAACGAGAUUGAACAAGGUAUUGGGAUACCGACGAUCGAAUCUCGGGCAAGUAACAUACCGAUUGACAAAGGGAAUUGUAUACGGGAUUGAUUGAAUCCUUGACACCGUGGUUCAUCCGAUGAGAUCAUCGUGGAACAUGUGGGAGCCAACAUGGGUAUCCAGAUCCCACUGUUGGUUAUUGACCGGAGAGGCGUCUCGGUCAUGUCUGCAUGCCUCCCGAACCCGUAGGGUCUACACACUUAAGGUCCGGUGACGCUAGGGUUGUAGAGAUAUAUGUAUGCGAAAACCCGAAAGUUGUUCGGAGUCCCGGAUGAGAUCCCGGACGUCACGAGAGGUUCCGGAAUGGUCCGGAGGUGAAGAAUUAUAUAUAGGAAGUCCAGUUUCGGCCACCGGGAAAGUUUCGGGGGUUAUCGGUAUUGUACCGGGACCACCGGGUGGGGCCACCUAUCCCGGAGGGCCCCGUGGGCUGAAAGUGGAAGGGAACCAGCACCUAGUGGGCUGGGGCGCCCCCCUUGGGCCUCCCCCUGCGCCUAGGGUUGGGAACCCUAAGGGGGGGAGUUCCCCCUUGCCUUGGGGGGCAAGGCAACCCCUUCCCCCCCUUGUGGCCGCCGCCCCCCUUGAGAUCCCAUCUCUUGGGGCUGGCGCACCCCCCCCAGGGGCCUAUAUAAAGGGGGGGAGGGAGGGCAGCACACAACAGCCUUGGGCGCCUCCCUCCUCCCCUGCAACACCUCUCUCUCUCUCGUAGAAGCUCGGCGAAGCCCUGCACGAGACCCGCUACAUCCACCACCACGCCGUCGUGCUGCUGGAUCUCCAUCAACCUCUCCUUCCCCCUUGCUGGAUCAAGAAGGAGGAGACGUCGCUGCACUGUACGUGUGUUGAACGCGGAGGUGCCGUCCGUUCGGCACUCGGUCGUCGGUGAUUUGGAUCACGGCGAGUACGACUCCGUCAUCCACGUUCAUUGGAACGCUUCCGCUCGCGAUCUACAAGGGUAUGUAGAUGCACUCCCUUCCCCUCGUUGCUAGUAGACUCCAUAUAUGCAUCUUGGUGAACGUAGGAAAAUUUUAAAAUUAUGCUACGAUUCCCAACAGUAGAGUCUUGUUGUGAUGCCAUGUUGUAUUUGCACAUAUCGAGCAUAUUGUGUGUAUGAUUGAAAUGCUUGGUAUGUGUGGGAUCCGACAAUCUAGUUGUUUAUCCUUGGUAGCCUCUCUUAUGGGGAAAUGUAGUCUGGUGCUUCCACUAAGCCUUGGUAGUCCGCUACAGCCCGGUUUACCGGAGUCCUGGUAGCCCAGCACUACUGCUCCGAAACACCCAGACUGGCCGGCAUGUGAUACAAUUCGUUCUUGUGUCUGUCCCUUCGGGGAAAUGUCACGCGGUGACAUCCAGAGUCCUGCUAGCCUGCUACAGCCCGGUUUACCGGAGUCCGGUUAGCCCAGUUGCUACAGCCCGAAUUCACACGCUGAUGACUGACACGUUCGAUGCUGGUUCAUGUAUGCCUGUCCCCGUAAGUUAGCGCCACUUUGGGUUCACGACUAGUCAUGUUGGCUCGGGUUCUGUGUCAUAUGGAUGCUAGCGACACUAUCAUAUACGUGAGCCAAAAGGCGCAAACGGUCCCGGACCAGGUAAGGUGGCACCCGUGGGAAUACCGUGCGUCAGGCCGCAAAGUGAUAUGAUGCGUUACAUGCUAGAUUGGUGUGACUUAGGAUCGGGGUCCUGACAGCUUUGGUAUCAGAGUCUGACUGCCUGUAGGGUCCAAGCCAAACUGGUCGAAGUUGAGUCUAGAAAUGCUCUAGUUAUAUAAGGGAAUUGAUUGUGGAAGGGAACGUAAGGCUCUUUUUACUCCUUUACCUUAUGCCUUUCUGAUCUGAGUCGCCCUCUUCUUUUCUACGGGGAUUAAGAAUUAGACCUUCUCAUCUAUCUAUCAGGAUCACGUGUUACUAAUCCGUAGACUCGUAGGAUUGUUGGUUUCAAGCCCCAAUUCAGUUUCUACUAUUUCUGUAUGUUCAUAGUUGGUCUCGGAACCUUGAUAUGAUGUUGUGGAGUGGUUAUGCCACCAUUUUGCAGGAUGUCUCAAAUCUUUUUGAGCAUUUACAGCCGUUAUGCUGUCCGAGUCAUCCUAGCUCUCUAAAUAGUCUGAUGCAUUUGCAAAUCCCUUCUUCCCGUUUCUAAUGUCCUUUUGGGCCAGAUUAAGCACACCAAACGGUCUGUUGAGGUACUCCGUUGCCUCGGUGUAUAUGUUGAAGCCAUUAUUAUGACCCCAGUCGUCUUAGAGAACCACUCAGUAAUCUAGCAAUGCUUUGUAUCCCCAGUGUGAUGAUUCUGGCCAUUACUCUCGAAAGCAUCCCGUGAUGCUACUUAGUAGUAGGUAUUCUACUCAUAGGUUUUUGAGCCCAAAAUUCACCCUACUUACUUCACGUUGAUAGUGUUUGCUAGUUCCUUUAGGAUAUUAGUAACCUUCGUGAUAGUCCUCAAGGUCCAUGGUAAAUCCUUCCUCCAAUACCAUGAACUACUUAUGGCAGAAGUUCCUUAUUGAACCAAAACAUCACAAUAAGAGUGCUCUUGAUGAGUUCUCCAUUCUGCAUUGUGAAUCUGCCAGUCCUACCUUUCUGCAUGGAUUAUCUGGAAGAAAUAUGUUGAACUUGUUGACAUGCUAGUCUAUGCAUCCAUAACUCAGAAAAUCAUAUGUUCUUUGAGUUGUCCCUCUUUAGUUGUUUUCUGACCUUCAUCUAUCAAUUGAUAGUCAAGAGUAUGCGUGCAUUCGUUCAUCGUUGCCUUUACUCUUGCGUUCCAUCAAGCCAUUCUAUUCCGGAAUGACUAGGAGAAACAAACUCCAGCACCUCAUCCAUUUCUUGGACUGGUCAAAGUAGUUGUAUUCCGCAGAUCAAAAUGCCAAUCCAGCUUUUGUUCUGUUCUACCUCGGAGUAUUACCCCCUUUAUGCCAGGAUUGUCAUGAGAAUUGCAGCAUCUCCCAUGAAUUCUUGAUGCAGUGAUACUUCUUUCCAUCAUUUUUCAUUCCUCCGUCCCGUGUUGUCGCAACCGGAAUGCCGACAAGUGAACCAUGAUGUGUGAAAUCAAUACUCCUAGCAACUCUGUUGCUUGGUAGUUAAUGGACGAUAAAUUUCAUUCUUAGCGUAUUGAUUAUUUAAUCAUCACUCUAGGAUUGAUCGUGCUACCUAGUCCAUUUUCCAAGGUGCACUCUUCGAUCAAUGAGUUAGGAUUAUGUCAAACCCUCGCUCUUUUGAUCAUAUCAUCUUGCCCUGGAAAUCAAGAUUGUUCUCGAGCUUAAUAACGUAUCGGUGGUUCGUGAUUUUCCGAUCAUCUUCUCGGAAGUAUCACCAGGUUGUCCCUGACUGUUAUGUUGAGCUCGCGGCCAAGUUGGUUUCUUGUAACCACCCCUUCUCCAAGAAUCUGUGUUGGAUACCCUGAACUGGUUGGUUAAGCUGAACAACAACUUGGAGAGUUGGAAGAUGAAAGCUUGUCCGACCUAGUUCAUCACUAAGGGAUAUCCUUGUGUUUUGUGUUUGUUGAAGAAAGAUGAUAUCUUCAUCGAUUGAUCCUCGUGAUCAAUUGUCGGCGCUAUUGUCUUAUCCAAUCUUUGAUUGUCGCAUGGGCUAUCGUCAAAUCAAAUCAGAACCAACGAUAAUCGUAAUGUUGUCUUACUCGUGGUUGAUCCCUCGAGCAUACACCAUUACAUCUUUUGGUCUGACCAAUACUAUCACAUUGUUCACAUAAUGGUGGAAUUCCAGUGAUAUGGAAAUUCCGAUGAGUUAUUGUUGAGCCCAUCAACAACAUCUUGUCUCCUCCAUGAGUCAUGUUGGACAUUGAGCUAGUGUUGGAAACUUUGUAAGCAUUGUCUUCGUGUCCCGCUCAUGAGGUAUAUGUUUUGGUGAAAGAAGUGACUUUCUCCAAGUUCACGUGCAUUAGGUGUAAGUUGCCACCAUGAAUUGGAGAAAGGUUUGUUUUGUUUCCCCUGGAACCAUCCCAAAUCAGUCAUGCAUACGUGCGAAGUAUCCUAUGGUUUGGUAGAUUAAUUACCUCCACUCCAUACGUAUUCCCUAGCACACCAAACCACUGAUUGAUUUGUUCAAGGAUAGGAAGUUCAAAUGCUAUUCCCGAAGGGCCCAGACGGACUUGCACAAGACUUCGUUAUUCCAAUGAUGGUUCCCAAUCAGAACUCGGUAGUGUUUUAUUAUAAGACUACCACGUGGUCAUGCUUGUCUGGGACAGUGUGUUCACAUGUGUGUAGCAGAACCAGCUCAUGUUUUGGAGCUUACCAUCGUAGUUCAUUUCCCGAGAAUCUCGCAACGUCAUCUCGUCGAUUUGUGUUGCAAACUUUCUUUUCAGACAUGCUGAGUCUGAAGUAUCCUACCACCAAUCGGAUCUGAAUCUCAGGCAGAUAUGAUGGUUGGAACAUUCCCAACAGUUGCAUUUUGUUCCCAGCUUGCACCGCCAUUGUGCCAAAUUCCCAUGGGCUGCCCUUCUCAGCAGUUGUUGUCCAAGAUCAUCUUCAAAAGUGGACUUACCAUGGGUCCCAUCCAUUUCCGAUGAUAAGCAAAAUCAUCCAUUGCGUUGUCUCCAACAAGGUAGUCCACAUCAUCCAUUCUAGUCCGAGUAUGUCAUUCUUUUGAACUCCUUCAACUGAUCGAUUGUGAUUGCCUUAGGUUGGUAUAAAGAGUCUCAAUGAUCUAUGUAUCAAAGUAAUUCUUUUUGCCACUUAAGGGAAUAAUUCUAUGAGUCACCUUCCCUAAUGUGCCCUGUUAUGGAGUCAUGGCGAUUAUUUCCUCGCUAUCUUGAAACCAUGACCAUCUUCUAAGCAUGGAAUUGUUGCCUACUAAUCUGAACCUUCAUCACCUGCUUCUUUCCAUCGCUCCUCAUAUGUGUUUUUGUCCCUCAGCUCAAGAGAUGUUUCUACGUCUCGUUCCAUGAAUUGAUCCUGUGAUCAUUAAGAUGAUCCAUCCCUGUGGAGUUAUCUCGCUUCUGUCCCCGUGUUGGGUGAAGAUCUUGAAAGCAAGGAUGUCAAGUUCAAGAUGAUGCAAUGAAUCAAUAUCUUCGAUGAGGACAGUUGGAUCAUGAAGAUUGUGUUAGUUUGCGUCCCCCCUCAUCUUACCCUACGCUUGAAUCUCGGGACGAGAUUCUUGUUUAGUGGGGGUGAGUUGUCACAACCCUAGUCAGUGCAUGCAUUAGAGUGUUUGCAUCAUGUUUAAAUUUCAGUUAAACUUGAAAUGGGGAUGUUCAAACCCUAGCACCAAAUGGAACUCAACUAGGUUCAAUCCAAAAUCUUUUUCAAAGAACCCAAGAUGCCCUUUGAAAAUGUUCAUGAUUUCUGAUAAAGGUGAAAACCUCUGCCAAAAAUGAUGAAUAUAUUUCUAGGACAUUCUGGAUCUUUGAAUUAACUCAUAUCGUAUUUGAAUUGGAGCAUUUAAAUCCUAUAAAUAUUUUUAAAUGCUCUAAUAAUUCUGAAACUAGUUUUGGGUUGUUGGAAAUAAUCCAAACACUGCCCACAAUUAUUUUCAGGAUUUUACAAAAUGGAUUAGUAUUUUUACUAAUUCAAAACAGAAUAAAAGAAAUAGAAAACUGAAACAAAAGGAAAAGAGAGCUUACCUGUAACUUACCUGGACCUACUGCCUGUGCAGCCCACUUGGCAGCCCAGCCAACUGGCCCAGCCCACCAGAAGCCCCACCGUCUUCAACCUCUGCCAGAAGCCCCACCGUCUUCAACCUCUGCCAGUAGGCAGAGGCGUGUCGGCGCGCGCUCAAGCUCCACCUUUCGCUUCCACCUCCUGCUUCCCCCUCGCGCUGUCUCCGCGCCACAGGAACGACCUCGACCCCCUCUGCUUCUCCCCUCACUCUGGAGCUCUCUUCCUCUCCUCAAGCUCCCUCCCCGCAGCACCACCGAACACGCCGUCGCCGCCGCUUGCUGCUCCUGCGGCCACUGCCACGUCCUCGCCCCUCCGUCGUGUCCACGAGCUCCGCGCCGUCGUCCUCGUCUUCUCCGUCAAGCCGUGCGUCUCCGGAUGCCCUGUGGAGCUGCCAUCGCCGUCGUCUUCACCUCCGGCCGCCCGAGAUCGCCGUCGCCCUUCUGCCCACGUUGGACCUCCACCGAGCUUGCUGACGCCUCCGUCGGAUCCGCUGUGAGCCCCGCCGCCGGUUCCCCCUCUUCGUUUUUUCACUCGCGCGCCGUAGCCAUGCUAACCACCGGACCCGAGUGGUCGCGCCGCCGUGGAUCCCCACCGUCGUAGCCAGAGCCACCGCAGCUCGCGCCCGCACAUGCCAUCGUGCUCAGGAGCCUCCCAGAAGACCAAAGCCGCCGCCUGCAGCUCCCGCCGUGCCCUGCAGCACCCCGCGCACACCUGGUCGUGCUCCGGCCGCCGCCCCGAGCUUGUUCCCGGCGAGCUCAGGCCACCCCCGCCUCUCCCGCUUGCUCCAGACGACGCGGACGAGCCCUGGCUCCUCGCACAUGGCCUCCGCCGCCCAAAUGGUCGCCAGAGCGACGAACCCGACGCGCUCCGCCACGUUCGGCCUCGCCGGCGACUAACCGCCAGUCAAACCGCGCUAAUUAACCCCCCCUCCCGUGACAUUGAAAGGCGGGCCCCACUGCCUAACUAACCAGCUAACAAAAAUAGAUUAAGGUUAAUCUAAUCACAGUGGCCCCACGCGUCGGCGUUGACCUCGCUGACGUGGUCGUUGACCGGACCCACCUGUCUGUGUCACUAAUUGUCACUGGGCCACUGAUUAGUGGACCCCACUGGUUAGGUUUGACCUGUACCGUCGCCUUUGACUGCUGACGUCACCCUGACGCAAUGCUGACGCAAUAAAUCAUUUACUGGAUUUAUUCUUAUUCAGGAAAUUCCAGCAAAUGCCCAAAACUUCUAAAAAUCAUAGAUAUUAAUCUGUAACUCCAAAUGCAAAGAUUUAUAUAUGAAAAAAUGAUCAGAAAAAUCCAAUCUUUCCAUCUGUACUAGUUUCAUGCAUGUUAAAGCAACUUAACCUUGCUGUUUAGUGCAAACAUGAUAAUGCACUAUUUAAAUUCAUAAGUUGAGUUUGGGAUUGAACCUUUGGUUCAAAAUGACUCAAACCCAGCUGGUUGUAGUUGCAUUAGCCCAACACACUCAUUUUGCCAUGUCAUGAUCAUGCAUCAUAUUGUGCAUCGCAUUGAUUGUAUUUCUUCUCUAUUGCCGGUAUUUGUCCCCUCUCGGUAGACGAUGUUCUGACGUUGUUAUCGUUGACACUGAUGAAGACUCAAUGCUAUCUUCAGAAGUGCCAGGCAAGCAAAACCCCCUUGUUCAUUCCGAUACAAUCCCACUCUCCCGCUUCUGCUCUCUUUUACUGCAUUAGGACAACAACGAUUCAACUGUUACAUGCUGCGGUAGUUGAACCCCUUUCCUCUGCAUGACCUGUCAUUGCCACAGUAAAUAGAUGAAACCCACUAGCAUGAGUAGGAGUUGUUUGAGCCCUGAUGUGCCUAAUCAUUCAUGCUUGUUUGUCAUGCCUGCUACUGCUUAGAGUUGAGUCAGGUCUGAUUCAUCGGGGAUGAAUUGGAAUGGUGAUGAACAUGUCCUACUGUGUGUGAGCUAAGUGUGUGAACACGAUUUGGUAAAGGUAGCGGUGAGAGGCCAUGUAGGAGUACAUGGUGGGUUGUCUCAUUGAAACCCUCCUUAGGAACUGAGUUCUGUGUUUGUGAUCCAUGAACAGCUACUACCACACAUUGGGCCCUGAAAUAUGACCCUGCUCGACUUAUUAACCGCCCCUGUCCUCUGUCCAGGAGUUGCAACUAGUUUCCGGUGUUUGUAGGAUAUGUGUUGGAGGCCGUGCGUAGCGCUGACCCUAGGGGUGGGCUAUGAUGCGGUAAAUACAUCGUGGCACGGUGUACCGAGCGCCCGUUUGGUGUCUCGGGAACCCUGCACACAUCGUUUGGGGCUGUGGGCGAAACCAUGGCCGGAUCUCCUCGCGGAUGGAACCCGAAUAGGCGAUAAACCUGAACUAGAGACUUGUGUGGUUAGUAGGUCGUGGUCUACACCCACGUCGGCUUUCGCUUGAAGUCUGCCGAGCACAUGUCGUGUGCAGACGCUAAGUGGUGGAAACAUGUGUGAAGAAGUACACCCCUGCAGGGUUAUAAAUGAUCUAUUCGAAUAGCCGUGUUCGCGUUAAAGGACUUCUAGAUUGCCUGUACAGUUCAUAGAUAACUUGAAGUGGAUACUCUAAAACUCGCAAGAUAAGUGUGAGUGCUAUGGAUGGCGUUCUCGUUAGGAGACGGGAGCGGAUCCAUAGUGGUGUAUUGAUUGGUGAAUAUGUGGACUCGUGUGCGCCACCUCAAAAGAGUUACUUGCAGUCGUAGUUCGGGAUAGCCAGUGAGUCAAAGUUGGCUUGCUGCAGUUAAACUCCACCACCCCCUUUGUUGAUACCGAUGCAUAUGUAGAUAGUUCUGAUGUAAGUCUUGCUGGGUACAUUUGUACUCACGUUUGCCUAUUUUAUGUUUUGCAGAGAGACUUCAGUCUCGCUAGUAGUUCCGCGUGGACUUCGACGUUUAGCUUGUUACCUCAGCUACGAUCUUGUGCCCUCGGCAGGGUCUUGUAGAUAGUCAGGCUUCUCAGCCUUCUUCAUUUGUAGUUGUCUGUACUUAGACAAGUUAAGCUUCCGCAUGUGCUUGUUGCUUGUAUGCUCUAUAUGUUGGGGUCAUGAGACCCAUGUUUGUAAUACUUGGCUCCUCGGAGCCUAAUGAAUAAAUACUCUUAGUCGUAGAGUCUUGUUGUGAUGCCAUGUUGUAUUUGCACAUAUCGAGCAUAUUGUGUGUAUGAUUGAAAUGCUUGGUAUGUGUGGGAUCCGACAAUCUAGUUGUUUAUCCUUGGUAGCCUCUCUUAUGGGGAAAUGUAGUCUGGUGCUUCCACUGAGCCUUGGUAGUCCGCUACAGCCCGGUUUACCGGAGUCCUGCUAGCCCAGCACUACUGCUCCGAAACACCUAGACUGGCCGGCAUGUGAUACACUUCGUUCCUGUGUCUGCCCCUUCGAGGAAAUGUCACGCGGUGACAUCCAGAGUCCUGCUAGCCUGUUACAGCCCGGUUUACUAGAGUCCUGUUAGCCCAGUUGCUACAGCCCGGAUUCACACGCUGAUGACCGACACGUUCGAUGCUGGUUCAUGUAUGCAUGUCCCUGUAAGUUAGCGCCACUUUGGGUUCACGACUAGUCAUGUCGGCCCGGGUUCUCUGUCAUAUGGAUGCUAGCGACACUAUCAUAUACGUGAGCCAAAAGGCGCAAACGGUACUGGGCCAGGUAAGGUGGCACCCGUGGGAAUACCGUGCGUGAGGCCGCAAAGUGAUAUGAUGUGUUACAUGCUAGAUCGGUGUGACUUAGGAUCGGGGUCCUGACAGGAGGCGCCGGAUAUAUUGAGGGAAGCACUUCGACAUGCUUCCAUCGUGGAAGAGCACCGUACCCUAAUGGGUACGGUGGUUGAGAAGGUUCAGUCCACAAAAAGCGGGCUGAACGAAGCUUUUACUAGCCUGCUAACAGGCUUUGAGGUAUGUGAUGUAAUAUUCUUAGUCGCUUUUGCGUGUGUAAAAAAUAUGCCUGUGUAUAGAUAGUAGCCCCUGAGACUCCGUUCGGCUUUUUGAAAAAGGGGGCGGACAGAGGAUCAAAUAUUUCGAAGAUAACAUACUUGUCUAUUUUGAAAAACAGGCUUUACUGCUAGCAACUUCAGCCAAGGAUGCUGAAGUGUCUGAGCUCCAGCAGAAACUGAAGCUGGCUGACGAUGAGAUCGACCGCAUUAACAAGCAGUUCGAUGAUGCCCAAGGUAUGCUUUUUAAAAAGACCCCUAACCAGCCUAAAGUAUAAUGCAAACUCAGAGUUUAAGCUCGUGCGCUGCUAUGUAAAUGAUUGUAGGCAACGCGACCGAGGUCGAGGCCCUCAAGAGUGCCCUUACCAAAGCCAAGGAUUAGGCGAGGGUAAGCAAAGCAUCCGCAGAGAAAGCGGCUGCGGAUGUGGAGGCCGAAAAGGACGCCCACCUUCAGUAUGAGGCGAGGGUGACCGAAGCAGAGCAAGCGCUCCAGGAGGCCGCCAACAAGUGUGAGUCCUUGGAGGAGAGGAACAAGGCCCAAGCGGCCGAACUCACCAAGGCUCUUCAAGCUGCGAAGGAGGCGCGGUCCGAGUCCCGGGUUGCUCGCGAGGAGAUCAAGCAAGCCAAACAGAUAGCGGCUCGUAAGCCUUUUCUUUUACAAAGUAUAUUCGGCGGUCAAAGAUAUGCUUUGCUAAAUCGAUUGUGGAGUGCUCCAGACGCUUUUGCGGAACUCCCGAGGAGUGCUGCCGACGCCGCCCAGUAUUUCCGGGCCCAAGAAGGGAACGUGACGGAGAAGCUCUUCUGGUUGCAGUACUUGGCGCCGGAGCGACUAGCGCUGCUGAACAAUCAGAUGAUGCAGCUGUCGGAGCUGCAUAGGAUGUCCGGUUUGGCCAUGAAGGACAUCAUAGUCCGGCUAUGGCCAGCCGGACCCAUUCCGAGCAGCUACUUCAGCCUGGUCAAGCGGCUUGGCGAUGCCUUGCCCCGAGUAGAGGUAGUGAAGCGCUCGGCAUGCAUAGAAGGUGCGCGGAUGGCCUUUGCCUGUGUCAAGUGAAGGAAAUAUGCCCUAGAGGCAAUAAUAAAGUUAUUAUUUAUUUCCUUAUAUCAUGAUAAAUGUUUAUUAUUCAUGCUAGAAUUGUAUUAACCGGAAACAUAAUACUUGUGUGAAUACAUAGACAAACAGAGUGUCACUAGUAUGCCUCUACUUGACUAGCUCGUUGAUCAAAGAUGGUUAUGUUUCCUAGCCAUAGACAUGGGUUGUCAUUUGAUUAACGGGAUCACAUCAUUAGGAGAAUGAUGUGAUUGACUUGACCCAUUCCGUUAGCUUAGCACUCGAUCGUUUAGUAUGUUGCUAUUGCUUUCUUCAUGACUUAUACAUGUUCCUAUGACUAUGAGAUUAUGCAACUCCCGUUUGCCGGAGGAACACUUUGUGUGCUACCAAACGUCACAACGUAACUGGGUGAUUAUAAAGGUGCUCUACAGGUGUCUCCGAAGGUACUUGUUGGGUUGGCGUAUUUUGAGAUUAGGAAUUGUCACUCCGAUUGUCGGAGAGGUAUCUCUGGGCCCACUCGGUAAUGCACAUCACUUAAGCCUUGCAAGCAUUGCAACUAAUGAGUUAGUUGUGAGAUGAUGUAUUACGGAACGAGUAAAGAGACUUGCCGGUAACGAGAUUGAACUAGGUAUUGAGAUACCGACGACCGAAUCUCGGGCAAGUAACAUACCGAUGACAAAAGGAACAAACGUAUGUUGUUAUGCGGUCUGACCGAUAAAGAUCUUCGUAGAAUAUGUGGGAGCCAAUAUGAGCAUCCAGGUUCCGCUAUUGGUUAUUGACCGGAGACGUGUCUCGGUCAUGUCUACAUAGUUCUCGAACCCGUAGGGUCCGCACGCUUAACGUUACGAUGACAGUUAUAUUAUGAGUUUACAUGUUUUCAUGUACCGAAGGUUGUUAGGAGUCCCGGAUGUGAUCAUGGACAUGACGAGGAGUCUCGAAAUGGUCGAGACAUGAAGAUUGAUAUAUUGGACGACUAUAUUCGGACACCGGAGUGGUUCCGGGGGUUAUCGGAUAUAUACCAGAGUACCAGGGGGUUACCGGAACCCCCCGGAGGUUAAUGGGCCUCAUGGGCCCAAGUGGUGGAAGAGGAGAGGAGGCCAAGGGGCAGCCGCGCGCCCCUCCCCCCAAGUCCGAAUUGGACAAGGAGGGGGGCGGCGCCCCCCCUUUCCUUUCCCCCUCUCUCUCCUUCCCUCUGCUCUCCUACUCCAACAAGGAAGGGAGGGAGUCCUACUCCUGGUAGGAGUAGGACUCCUCCUGGCGCGCCUCCUCCUGGCCGGCCGCACCUCCCCCCUUGCUCCUUUAUAUACGGGGGCAGGGGGCACCCUAGAGACACAACAAUUGAUCGUUUGAUCUUUUAGCCGUGUGCGGUGCCCCCCUCCACCAUAGUCCACCUCGAUAAUACUGUAGCGGUGCUUAGGCGAAGCCCUACGUUGGUAGAACAUCAUCAUCGUCACCACGCCGUCGUGCUGACGAAACUCUCCCUCAACACUCGGCUGGAUCGGAGUUCGAGGGACGUCAUCGGGCUGAACGUGUGCUGAACUCGGAGGUGCCGUGCGUUCGGUACUUGAUCGGUCGGAUCGUGAAGACGUACGACUACAUCAACCGCGUUGUGCUAACGCUUCCGCUUUCGGUCUACGAGGGUACGUGGACAACACUCUCCCCUCUCGUUGCUAUGCAUCACCAUGAUCUUGCGUGUGCGUAGGAAUUUUUUUGAAAUUACUACAUUUCCAAAAAGUGGUAUCAGAGCCUGGUUUUUAUGCGUAGAUGUCAUAUGCACGAGUAGAACACAAGUGAGUUGUGGGCGAUAUAAGUCAUACUGCUUGCCAGCAUGUCAUACUUUGGUUCGGCGGUAUUGUUGGAUGAAGCGGCCCGGACCGACAUUACGCGUACGCUUACGCGAGACUGGUUCUACCGACGUGCUUUGCACACAGGUGGCUGGCGGGUGUCAGUUUCUCCAACUUUAGUUGAACCGAGUGUGGCUACGCCCGGUCCUUGCGGAGGUUAAAACAGCACCAACUUGACAAACUAUCGUUGUGGUUUUGAUGCGUAGGUAAGAACGGUUCUUGCUAAGCCUAGUAGCAGCCACGUAAAACUUGCAACAACAAAGUAGAGGACGUCUAACUUGGUUUUGCAGGGCAUGUUGUGAUGUGAUAUGGUCAAGACAUGAUGCUGAAUUUUAUUGUAUGAGAUGAUCAUGUUUUGUAACCGAGUUAUCGGCAACGGGCAGGAGCCAUAUGGUUGUCGCUUUAUUGUAUGCAAUGCAAUCGCCCUGUAAUGAUUUACUUUAUCACUAAGCGGUAGCGAUAGUCAUAGAAGCAUAAGAUUGGCGAGACGACAACGAUGCUACGAUGGAGAUCAAGGUGUCGCGUCGGUGAUGAUGGUGAUCAUGACGGUGCUUCGGAGAUGGAGAUCACAAGCACAAGAUGAUGAUGGCCAUAUCAUAUCACUUAUAUUGAUUGCAUGUGAUGUUUAUCUUUUAUGCAUCUUACCUUGCUUUGAUUGACGGUAGCAUUAUAAGAUGAUCUCUCACUAAAUUAUCAAAGUAUAAGUGUUCUCCCUGAGUAUGCACCGUUGCGAAAGUUCUUCGUGCUGAGACACCACAUGAUGAUCGGGUGUGAUAGGCUCUACGUUCAAAUACAACGGGUGCAAAACAGUUGCACACGCGGAAUACUCAGGUUAAACUUGACGAGCCUAGCAUAUAACAGAUAUGGCCUCGGAACACGGAGACCGAAAGGUCGAGCGUGAAUCAUAUAGUAGAUAUGAUCAACAUAGUGAUGUUCACCAUUGAAACUACUCCAUCUCACGUGAUGAUCGGACAUGGUUUAGUUGAUUUGGGUCACGUGAUCACUUAGAGGAUUAGAGAGAUGUCUAUCUAAGUGGGAGUUCUUAAGUAAUAUGAUUAAUUGAACUUAAAUUUAUCAUGAACUUAGUACCUGAUAGUAUCUUGCUUGUCUAUGUUGUUUGUAGAUAGAUGGCCUGUGCUGUUGUUCUGUUGAAUUUUAAUGCGUUCCUUGAGAAAGCAAAGUUGAAAGAUGAUGGUAGCAAUUACACGGACUAGGUCCGUAACUUGAGGAUUAUCCUCAUUGCUGCACAGAAGAAUUACGUCCUGGAAGCACCGCUAGGUGCCAAACCUGCUGCAGGAGCAACAGCAGAUGUUAUGAACGUCUGGCAGAGCAAAGCUGAUGACUACUCGAUAGUUCAGUGUGCCAUGCUUUACGGCUUAGAACCGGGACUUCAAUGACGUUUUGAACGUCAUGGAGCAUAUGAGAUGUUCCAGGAGUUGAAGUUAAUAUUUCAAGCAAAUGCCCGGAUUGAGAGAUAUGAAGUCUCCAAUAAGUUCUACAGCUGCAAGAUGGAGGAGAAUAGUUCUGUCAGUGAGCAUAUACUCAAAAUGUCUGGGUAUAAUAAUCACUUGAUUCAACUGGGAUUUAAUCUUCCGGGUGAUAGCGUCAUUGACAGAAUUCUUCAAUCACUGCCACCAAGCUACAAGAGCUUCGUGAUGAACUAUAAUAUGCAAGGGAUGGAUAAGACGAUUCCCGAGCUCUUCACAAUGCUAAAGGCUGCGGAGGUAGAAAUCAAGAAGGAGCAUCAAGUGUUGAUGGUCAAUAAGACCACCAGUUUCAAGAAAAAGGGCAAAGGGAAGAAGAAGGGGAACUUCAAGAAGAACAGCAAGCAAGUUGCUUCUCAGGAGAAGAAACCCAAGUCUGGACCUAAGCCUGAGACUGAGUGCUUCUACUGCAAGCAAACUGGUCACUGGAAGCGGAACUGCCCCAAGUAUUUGGCGGAUAAGAAGGAUGGCAAGGUGAACAAAGGUAUAUGUGAUAUACAUGUUAUUGAUGUGUACCUUACUAAUGCUCGCAGUAGCACCUGGGUAUUUGAUACUGGUUCUGUUGCUAAUAUUUGCAACUCGAAACAGGGGCUACGGAUUAAGCGAAGAUUGGCUAAGGACGAGGUGACGAUGCGCGUGGGAAAUGGUUCCAAAGUCGAUGUGAUCGCGGUCGGCACGCUACCUCUACAUCUACCUUCGGGAUUAGUUUUAGACCUAAAUAAUUGUUAUUUGGUGCCAGCGUUGAGCAUGAACAUUAUAUCUGGAUCUUGUUUGAUGCGAGACGGUUAUUCAUUUAAAUCAGAGAAUAAUGGUUGUUCUAUUUAUAUGAGUAAUAUCUUUUAUGGUCAUGCACCCUUGAAGAGUGGUCUAUUUUUGUUGAAUCUCGAUAGUAGUGAUACACAUAUUCAUAAUAUUGAAGCCAAAAGAUGUAGAGUUGAUAAUGAUAGUGCAACUUAUUUGUGGCACUGCCGUUUAGGUCAUAUCGGUGUAAAGCGCAUGAAGAAACUCCAUACUGAUGGACUUUUGGAACCACUUGAUUAUGAAUCACUUGGUACUUGCGAACCGUGCCUCAUGGGCAAGAUGACUAAAACGCCGUUCUCCGGUACUAUGGAGAGAGCAACAGAUUUGUUGGAAAUCAUACAUACAGAUGUAUGUGGUCCGAUGAAUGUUGAGGCUCGUGGCGGAUAUCGUUAUUUUCUCACCUUCACAGAUGAUUUGAGCAGAUAUGGGUAUAUCUACUUAAUGAAACAUAAGUCUGAAACAUUUGAAAAGUUCAAAGAAUUUCAGAGUGAAGUUGAAAAUCAUCGUAACAAGAAAAUAAAGUUUCUGCGAUCUGAUCGUGGACGAGAAUAUUUGAGUUACGAGUUUGGUCUAUAUUUAAAACAAUGCGGAAUAGUUUCGCAACUCACGUCACCCGGAACACCACAGCAUAAUGGUGUGUCCGAACGUCGUAAUCGUACUUUACUAUAUAUGGUGCGAUCUAUGAUGUCUCUUACUGAUUUACCGCUAUCGUUUUGGGGUUAUGCUUUAGAGACGGCUGCAUUCACGUUAAAUAGGGCACCAUCGAAAUCCGUUGAGACGACGCCUUAUGAACUAUGGUUUGGCAAGAAACCAAAGUUGUCAUUUCUUAAAGUUUGGGGCUGCGAUGCUUAUGUGAAAAAGCUUCAACCUGAUAAGCUCGAACCCAAAUCGGAGAAAUGUGUCUUCAUAGGAUACCCAAAAGAGACUAUUGGGUACACCUUCUAUCACAGAUCCGAAGGCAAGACUUUUGUUGCUAAAUUUGGAUCCUUUCUAGAGAAGGAGUUUCUCUCGAAAGAAGUGAGUGGGAGGAAAGUAGAACUUGAUGAGGUAACUGUACCUGCUCCCUUAUUGGAAAGUAGUUCAUCAUAGAAACCGGUUCCUGUGACGUCUACACCAACUAGUGAGGAAGUUAAUGAUGAUGAUCAUGAAACUUCAGAUCAAGUUGUUACUGAACCUCGUAGGUCAACCAGAGUAAGAUCCGCACCAGAGUGGUACGGUAAUCCUGUUCUGGAAGUUAUGUUACUAGACCAUGACGAACCUACGAACUAUGAAGAAGCGAUGGUGAGCCCAGAUUCCGCAAAAUGGCUUGAGGCCAUGAAAUCUGAGAUGGGAUCCAUGUAUGAGAACAAAGUGUGGACUUUGGUUGACUUGCCCGAUGAUCGGCAAGCCAUUGAGAAUAAAUGGAUCUUCAAGAAGAAGACUGAAGCUGACGGUAAUGUUACUGUCUAUAAAGCUCGACUUGUUGCAAAAGGUUUUCGACAAGUUCAUGGGAUUGACUACGAUGAGACUUUCUCACCCAUAGCGAUGCUUAAGUCUGUCUGAAUCAUGUUAGCAAUUGCCGCAUUUUAUGAUUAUGAAAUUUGGCAAAUGGAUGUCAAAACUGCAUUCCUGAAUGGAUUUCUGGAAGAAGAGUUGUAUAUGAUGCAGCCAGAAGGUUUUGUCGAUCCAAAGGGAGCUAACAAAGUGUGCAAGCUCCAGCGAUCCAUUUAUGGACUGGUGCAAGCAUCUCGGAGUUGGAAUAAACGCUUUGAUAGUGUGAUCAAAGCAUUUGGUUUUAUACAGACUUUUGGAGAAGCCUGUAUUUACAAGAAAGUGAGUGGGAGCUCUGUAGCAUUUCUGAUAUUAUAUGUGGAUGACAUAUUAUUGAUUGGAAAUGAUAUAGAAUUUCUGGAUAGCAUAAAGGGAUACUUGAAUAAGAGUUUUUCAAUGAAGGACCUCGGUGAAGUUGCUUAUAUAUUGGGCAUCAAGAUCUAUAGAGAUAGAUCAAGACGCUUAAUUGGACUUUCACAAAGCACAUACCUUGACAAAGUUUUGAAGAAGUUCAAAAUGGAUCAAGCAAAGAAAGGGUUCUUGCCUGUGUUACAAGGUGUGAAGUUGAGUAAGACUCAAUGCCCGACCAGUGCAGAAGAUAGAGAGAAGAUGAAAGAAGUUCCCUAUGCUUCAGCCAUAGGCUCUAUCAUGUAUGCAAUGCUGCGUACCAGACCUGAUGUGUGCCUUGCUAUAAGUCUAGCAGGGAGGUACCAAAGUAAUCCAGGAGUGGAUCACUGGACAGCGGUCAAGAACAUCCUGAAAUACCUGAAAAGGAUGAAGGGUAUGUUUCUCAUUUAUGGAGGUGACAAAGAGCUCAUUGUAAAUGGUUACGUUGAUGCAAGCUUUGACACUGAUCCGGACGAUUCUAAAUCGCAAACCGGAUACAUGUUUACAUUGAACGGUGGAGCUGUCAGUUGGUGCAGUUCUAAACAAAGCGUCAUGGCGGGAUCUACGUGUGAAGCGGAGUACAUAGCUGCUUCGGAAGCAGCAAAUGAAGGAGUCUGGAUGAAGGAGUUCAUAUCCGAUCUAGGUGUCAUACCUAGUGCAUCGGGUCCAAUGAAAAUCUUUUGUGACAAUACUGGAGCAAUUGCCUUGGCGAAGGAAUCCAGAUUUCACAAGAGAACCAAGCACAUCAAGAGACGCUUCAAUUCCAUCCGGGAUCUAGUCCAGGUGGGAGACAUAGAAAUUUGCAAGAUACAUACGGAUCUGAAUGUUGCAGACCCGUUGACUAAGCCUAUUCCACGAGCAAAACAUGAUCAGCACCAAGACUCCAUGGGUGUUAGAAUCAUUACUGUGUAAUCUAGAUUAUUGACUCUAGUGCAAGUGGGAGACUGAAGGAAAUAUGCCCUAGAGGCAAUAAUAAAGUUAUUAUUUAUUUCCUUAUAUCAUGAUAAAUGUUUAUUAUUCAUGCUAGAAUUGUAUUAACUAGAAACAUAAUACUUGUGUGAAUACAUAGACAAACAGAGUGUCACUAGUAUGCCUCUACUUGACUAGCUCGUUGAUCAAAGAUGGUUAUGUUUCCUAGCCAUAGACAUGGGUUGUCAUUUGAUUAACGGGAUCACAUCAUUAGGAGAAUGAUGUGAUUGACUUGACCCAUUCCGUUAGCUUAGCACUCGAUCAUUUAGUAUGUUGCUAUUGCUUUCUUCAUGACUUAUACAUGUUCCUAUGACUAUGAGAUUAUGCAACUCCCGUUUACCGGAGGAACACUUUGUGUGCUACCAAACGUCACAACGUAACUGGGUGAUUAUAAAGGUGCUCUACAGGUGUCUCCUAAGGUACUUGUUGGGUUGGCGUAUUUCGAGAUUAGGAUUUGUCACUCCGAUUGUCGGAGAGGUAUCUCUGGGCCCACUCGGUAAUGCACAUCACUUAAGCCUUGCAAGCAUUGCAACUAAUGAGUUAGUUGUGAGAUGAUGUAUUACAGAACGAGUAAAGAGACUUGCCGGUAACGAGAUUGAACUAGGUAUUGAGAUACCGACGAUCGAAUCUCGGGCAAGUAACAUACCGAUGACAAAGGGAACAAACGUAUGUUGUUAUGCGGUCUGACCGAUAAAGAUCUUAGUAGAAUAUGUGGGAGCCAAUAUGAGCAUCCAGGUUCCGCUAUUGGUUAUUGACCGGAGACGUGUCUCAGUCAUGUCUACAUAGUUCUCGAACCCGUAGGGUCCGCACGCUUAACGUUACGAUGACAGUUAUAUUAUGAGUUUACAUGUUUUGAUGUAGCGAAGGUUGUUAGGAGUCCCGGAUGUGAUCACGGACAUGACGAGGAGUCUCGAAAUGGUCGAGACAUGAAGAUUGAUAUAUUGGACGACUAUAUUCGGACACCGGAAUGGUUCCGGGGGUUAUCGGAUAUAUACCGGAGUACCAGGGGGUUACCGGAACCCCCCCGGAGGUUAAUGGGCCUCAUGGGCCCAAGUGGUGGAAGAGGAGAGGAGGCCAAGGGGCAGCCGCGCCCCCCCCCAAGUCCGAAUUGGACAAGGGGGGGCGGCGCCCCCCCUUUCCUUUCCCCCUCUCUCUCCUUCCCUCUCCUCUCCUACUCCAACAAGGAAGGGAGGGAGUCCUACUCCCGGUGGGAGUAGGACUCCUCCUGGCGCACCUCCCCCCUUGCUCCUUUAUAUACGGGGGCAGGGGGCACCCUAGAGACACAACAAUUGAUCGUUUGAUCUUUUAGCCGUGUGCGGUGCCCCCCUCCACCAUAGUCCACCUCGAUAAUACUGUAGCGGUGCUUAGGCGAAGCCCUGCAUCGGUAGAACAUCAUCAUCGUCACCACGCCAUCAUGCUGACGAAACUCUCCCUCAACACUCGGCUGGAUCGGAGUUCGAGGGACAUCAUCGGGCUGAACGUGUGCUGAACUCGGAGGUGCCAUGCGUUCGGUACUUGAUCGGUCGGAUCGUGAAGACGUACGACUACAUCAACCGCGUUGUGCUAACGCUUCCGCUUUCGGUCUACGAGGGUACGUGGACAACACUCUCCCCUCUCAUUGCUAUGCAUCACCAUGAUCUUGCGUGUGCGUAGGAAUUUUUUUGAAAUUACUACGUUUCCCAACAUCAAGAUGCACUGGGCGAAGAUGAAGGCCGCCACCACGGCGGUUGAGGGUCCACCCGGAGGCAAGGACCACUGAUGACCCACAAGUGUAGGGGAUCUAUCGUAGUCCUUUCGAUAAGUAAGAGUGUCGAACCCAACGAGGAUCAGAAGGAAAUGAUAAGCGGUUUUCAGUAAGGUUUUCUCUGCAAGCACUGAAAUUGUAGUAAUAGAUAGUUUUGAGAUAAGAUAAAUUGUAACGAGCAACAAGCAAUGAAAGUAAAUAAAGUGCAGCAAGGUGGCCCAAUCCUUUAUGUAGCAAAGGAUAAGCCUGGACAAUUUCUAAUAAUGAGAAAGGAGCUCCCGAGGACACAUGGGAAUUAUCGUCAAGCUAGUUUUCAUCACGUUCAUAUGAUUCACGUUCGGUACUUUGAUAAUUUGGUAUGUGGGUGGACCGGUGCUUGGGUACUGCCCUUACUUGGGCAAGCAUCCCACUUAUGAUUAACCCCUAUUGCAAGCGUCCGCAACUACAAAAGAAGUAUUAAGGUAAACCUAACCACAACAUUAAACGUAUGGAUCCAAAUCAGCCCCUAACGAAGCAACGCAUAAACUAGGGUUUAAGCUUCUGUCACUCUAGCAACCCAUCAUCUACUUAUUACUUCCCAAUGCCUUCCUCUAGGCCCAAGUAAUGGUGAAGUGUCAUGUAGUCGACGUUCACAUAACACCACUAGAGGAAAAGACAACAUACAUCUCAUCAAAAUAUCGAACGAAUACCAAAUUCACAUGACUACUAAUAGCAAGACUUCACCCAUGUCCUCAGGAACAAACGUAACUACUCACAAAGCAUAUUCAUGUUCAUGAUCAGAGGAGUAUUAAUAUGCAUUAAGGAUCUGAACAUAUGAUCUUCCACCAAAUAAACCAACUAGCAUCAACUACAAGGAGUAAUCAACACUACUAGCAACACACAGGUACCAAUUUGUGGUUUUGAUACAAGAUUGGAUACAAGAGAUGAACUAGGGUUUUGAGAGGAGAUGGUGCUGGUGAAGAUGUUGAUGGAGAUUGACCCCCUCCCGAUGAGAGGAUUGUUGGUGAUGACGAUGGUGAUGAUUUCCCCCUCCCGGAGGGAAGUUUCCCCGACAAAACAGCUUUGCCGAAGCUCUAGAUUGGUUCCGCCAAGGUUCCGCCUCGUGGCGGCGGAGUUUCGUCCCGUAAGCUUGCCCACGAUUUUUUCCAGGGUAAAAGCCUUCAUAUAGCAGAAGAUGGACACCAGGGGGCCCAGGAGACAGGGGCGCGCCCAGUAGGGGAGGGCGCGCCCCACCCUCCUGGCCAGGGUGUGGGCCCCCUGAGGUAUUUCUUCCGCUCAAUAAUUCUUAUAAAUUCCAAAAAUAAGUUUCGUGGAGUUUCAGAACUUUUGGAGCUGUGCAGAAUAGGUUUCCAAUAUUUGCACCUUUUCCAACCAGAAUUCCAGCUGUCGGCAUUCCCCCUGUUCAUGGUAAACCUUGUAAAAUAAGAGAGAAUAGCCAUAAGUAUUGAGAUAUAAUGUGUAAUAACAGCCCAUAAUGCAAUAAAUAUUGAUAUAAAAGCAUGAUGCAAAAUGGACGUGUCAACUCCCCCAAGCAUAGACCUCGCUUGUCCUCAAGCGGAAGCCGAAAUCGAAAAAUAUGUCCACAUGUUCAGAGAUAGAGGUGUCGAUAAAAAUAAAAUACAGACAUGAGGGCAUCAUGAUCAUUCUUAUAACAGCAACAUAUAUAGAUUUUAUCAUAUGAUUUCUUAUGCUCAAGUAACAAUCAAUUCACAAUGUCAAGUAUGGUUUAAAAACUUCAUUGAGAACUAACAAACUAUAAUCUCAGUCAUUGAAGCAAUUGCAAUUUAUCAUAACAUCAGAAAGAGUCAUCAAUAGAGCUUUUCAGCAAGUUCACAUACUCAACUAUCUUGUAGUCUUCUACAAUUGCUAACACUCACGCAAUACUUGUGGUUAUGGAGUUUCAGCCGGACACUGAGAAAGAUAGGGGCUUAUUGUGUUGCCUCCCAACGUAUUCACCUUUAGGUGAUGUCAACAAUAAUAGCCCGUGCUAACUUACAUUCAAUUGGAUAUAUAUAUCAUGAUCUUUCAAACACAAGGAGCUUGCCAAAGGAUAAAAUGAAAAAGGGAAAGGUGAAGAUCACCUUGACUUAAGCAUAAAGUAAAAUCAUAAAGUAAAAGAUAGGCCCUUCGCAGAGGGAAGCAGAGGUUGUCAUGUGCAUAUAGGGUUGGAUGCACAAAAUCUUAAUGCAAAAGAACGUCACUUUAUAUUGCCCCUUCUAUGUGGACCUUUAUUAUGUAGUCCGUCGCUUUUAUUACUUCCACAACAAGUUCGUACAAAGCUUAUUUUCUCUGCACUAAUAAGUCAUACAUAAUUAGAUAGCAAUUUUUAUUGCCUGCAACAUGACAACUUACUUGAAGGAUCUUACUCAAUCCAUAGGUAGGUAUGGUGGACUCUCAUGGCAAAAACUGGGUUUAAGGAUAUUUGGAAGCACAAGUAGUAUCUCUACUUGGUGCAAGGAAUUUGGCUAGCAUGAGGGGGAAAGGCAAGCUCAACAUGUUUGGAAGGUCAAUGACAAUAUACUUUAACUGAGAUGUGAGAAAACAUAAACCAUUACGUUGUCUUCCUUGUCCAACGUCGACUCUUUUAGCAUGUCAUACUUAAUGAGUGCUCCCAAUCAUGAAAGGUGUCCAAGAUAAUAUAUUUAUAUGUGAACCUCUCUUUCCUUAUCACUUCCUAUUAAUUGCAACGAUGACCAAAACUACAUUUAUCAACUCUCAACAAUUUUUAUGCCUCAUACUUUCUAUGUGUGAAGUCAUUACUAUCCACAAGAUCAAUAUGAACUCUUUUAUUCUUUCUACUUCCCCAAGAUCAUAGCAAGAUAGCAAAUCCCUUGACUCAACACUAAUCUUUAUUAUAGAUAGCUCACAGACUCAAUUACAUAAAGAGAUCACAAAGCAAAACUCAAAACUAAUUGAUAUUAAAAACUUCAAUCUACUAGAUCAAGAUACUACUAAAAGGAUCGAACUAAAUAAAACGGCAAAGAUAGGAGUGUGAUGGUGAUACGAUACCGGGGCACCUUCCCCAAGCUUGGCAGUUGCCAAGGGGAGUGCCCAUACCCAUGUGAUUAUGUCUCCUUCUUCAGGGUUGGUGUUGUAGGCUUCUUUGCUCUAUCAGGUAGGCUUGACUUUUUAAACUCCACAUGCAUGUCCCCAGGUUGAGGUAAUGGGGCUUCGUCUUCGUCUGAACUAGUUUCCUCCUUUCCCUUAGGCUCAUAGGCCUCCUCUUCUUCAGUGGUCCAACCGCCAUGUUCCAAGUCCCCGUAGACCUUAGGGUCUGCAAGGAAAUCAGCCACAUAGCUUUCUCCCUCCGAGUCCUGGGAUGACAUAUUGCUCCGGGCCUGUAACAGAAACAGCUCGAAACGAAAACAGAGGAUAUUUGCGUGAUACGGUGGUCAAAACCUUCGGGAGUAUAUAUAAUAAAUUUUUACCGACCAAAAUACGUAACGUGCAAGAAAACAGAGUCCGGGAGGCACACGAGGUGUCCACGAGACAGGGGGGCGCGCCCAGUAAGGGAGGGCGCGCCCUCCACUCUCGUGGGGACCUCGUGCCCCUUUCGGACUACUUCUUUCUUCCUAAAAUUCUUAAAUAUUCCAAAACAGAUAAAGAUUGCCAUUGGAGUUGUUUUGGAGUCGAUUUACUUACCAUACCACAUACCUAUUCCUUUUCGGGGUCUGGAACAUUCUGGAAAGUGUCCCUUAUGUAUUCCUCCGGGGUUACGGUUUCAAUAAUAUUAGUUUUAACAUUGAUAGGAUUACCUGAAAUAUAAUGUUUAAUUCUUUGACCGUUCACCACCCUCGGACUUGUGCCUUCGAAGUUGUUGAUUUUUAUGGCACCAGAACGAUAGACCUCCUCGAUAACAUAAGGACCUUCCCAUUUAGAGAGAAGUUUUCCUGCAAAAAAUCUUAAACGAGAGUUGAAUAGCAACACAUAAUCACCUAUGUUAAACUCACGCUUUUGUAUCCUUUUGUCAUGCCAGCGUUUGACUUUUUCUUUGAAUAGCUUGGCAUUCUCAUAGGCUUGGGUUCUCCAUUCAUCAAGUGAGCUAAUAUCAAACAACCUCUUUUCACCGGCAAGUUUGAAGUCAUAGUUGAGCUCUUUAAUAGCCCAAUAUGCUUUAUGUUCAAGUUCUAGAGGUAAAUGACAAGCUUUUCCAUAAACCAUCUUAUAGGGAGACAUACCCAUAGGAUUUUGUAUGCAGUUCUAUAGGCCCAUAAUGCAUCAUCAAGUUUCUUAGACCAAUUCUUUCUAGAUCUAUUGACAGUCUUUUGCAAAAUUAAUUUGAGUUCUCUAUUGCUCAACUCUACUUGACCACUAGACUGCGGAUGAUAAGGAGAUGCGAUUCUAUGAUUAACAUCAUACUUAGCAAGCAUUUUGUGAAAAGCACCAUGAAUAAAAUGUGAACCACCAUCAGUCAUAAGAUAUCUAGGGACUCCAAACCUCGGAAAAAUAACUUCUUUAAGCAUUUUAAUAGAAGUGUUAUGAUCAACACUACUAGUUGGAAUAGCUUCUACCCACUUAGUAACGUAAUCAACAGCAACUAAGAUAUGUGUAUAACCAUUAGAGGCAGGAAAGGUCCCAUAUAAUCAAAGCCCCAAACAUCAAAUGGUUCAAUAACAAGAGAAUAAUUCAUAGGCAUUUCUUGACGUCUACUAAUGUUACCUAUUCUUUGACAUUCAUCACAAGAUAAGACAAACUUACGAGCAUCUUUGAAGAGAGUAGGCCAAUAAAAGCCAGAUUGCAGUACCUUGUGUGCAGUUCUAUCUCCAGCGUGGUGUCCUCCAUAGGAUUCAGAGUGACACUUGCAUAGGAUCUGUUCCUGUUCAUGCUCAGGUACACAACGUCUAAUAACACCAUCUACUCCUUCUUUAUAAAGGUGUGGGUCAUCCCAAAAGUAAUGUCUUAAAUCAUAAAAGAACUUUUUCUUUUGCUGGUAUGUGAAACUAGGCGGUAUAAAUUUAGCAACAAUGUAAUUAGCAUAAUCAGCAUACCAAGGAGCAGUACGAGAAGCAUUAAUGACCGCUAAUUGUUCAUCAGGAAAGCUAUCAUCAAUAGGUAGUGGGUCAUCAAGAACAUUGUCUAACCUAGACAAGUUGUCUGCAACGGGGUUCUUAGCUCCCUUUCUAUCAAUAAUAAGUAAAUCAAAUUCUUGGAGCAAGAGAACCCAUCUAAUGAGUCUAGGCUUAGCAUCUUUCUUUUCCAUAAGAUAUUUAAUAGCAGCAUGAUCAGUGUGGAUAGUGACUUUGGAAUCAACUAUAUAAGGUCUAAACUUAUCACAUGCAAACACGACUGCUAAGAAUUCUUUUUCAGUAGUAGCAUAAUUUCUCUGGGCAGUAUCAAGAGUCUUACUAGCAUACUGGAUAACAUUCAAUUUCUUAUCAACUCUUUGCCCUAGAACAGCACCUACAGCAUAAUCACUAGCGUCACACAUAAUUUCAAAAGGUAAAUUCCAAUCAGGUGGCUGAACAAUAGGUGCAGUGAUCAAAGCUUUCUUAAGUAUUUCAAAUGCUUCUACACAAUCGUCAUCAAAGACAAAAGGAAUAUCUUUUUGCAAUAAAUUAGUCAGAGGCCUAGAGAUUUUAGAAAAGUCCUUAAUGAACCUCCUAUAAAAACCGGCAUGACCAAGGAAACUUCUUAUACCUUUUAUGUCCUUGGGACAUGGCAUCUUUUCAAUCGCAUCAACUUUGGCUUUGUCAACUUCAAUACCUCUCUCGGAGAUCUUGUGCCCCAAGACAAUGCCUUCAUUAACCAUAAAGUGGCACUUUUCCCAAUUCAGGACAAGACUAGUGUCUUCGCAUCUCUGCAAAACUCGAUCAAGGUUGCUCAAGCAAUCAUCAAAAGAGGAUCCAUAAACGGAGAAAUCAUCCAUGAAUACCUCACAAAUCUUUUCACAAAAGUCAGAGAAUAUAGCCAUCAUACAUCUUUGAAAGGUAGCAGGUGCAUUACAUAAACCAAAAGGCAUACGUCUAUAAGCAAAAGUACCGAAAGGGCAAGUAAAAGUAGUUUUUGAUUGAUCCCCUGCUGACACAGGUAUCUGAGAGAAACCAGAAUAGCCAUCUAGAAAGCAAAAAUGUGUGUGUUUGGAUAGUCUUUCUAGCAUUUGAUCAAUAAAAGGUAAAGGGUAAUGAUCUUUCUUAGUAGCCUUAUUUAGUUUACGGAAAUCAAUUACCAUCCUAUAACCUGUAAUAAUUCUUUGCAGGAUCAAUUCAUCUUUAUCGUUAGGAACGAUAGUAAUACCUCCCUUUUUAGGAACACAAUGGACAGGGCUUACCCAAUCGCUAUCAGCAACGGGGUAGAUUAUACCUGCCUCAAGGAGCUUUAGUAUCUCCUUUCUUACCACUUCUUUCAUCUUGGGAUUCAGUCAUCGUUGAGGAUCUCUAACUGGUUUAGCAUCGGCCUCCAAAUUAAUUUUGUGUUGACAUAACGUGGGACUAAUGCCCUUGAGAUCAUCCAGAGUAUAUCCAAUAGCAGCACGGUGCUUCUUCAGAGUUUUCAAUAAUUUUUCUUCUUCUUGCUCUGAAAGGUUAGCACUAAAUAAUAACAGGAUAUAUUUUCUUUUCAUCGAGAUAAGCAUACUUAAGAUUAUCAGGUAAUGGUUUGAGUUCAAACACGGGAUCACCCUUGGGUGGAGGGGGAUCCCCAAGAAUUUCAACGGGAAGGUUAUGUUUCAGCAAAGGUUCCUGUUUAAGGAACACAUCAUCUAUUUCCCUUCUUUCCUUCAUAAACAUAUCAUUUUCAUGGUCUAGCAAAUAUUGUUCUAACGGAUCAGUAGGAGGUACGGCAAUAGAAGCAAGACCAAUAAUUUCAUCUUUACUAGAUGAUUCUCUAUUACGAGGUUGUCUAUGAAACUUAGCAAAAUUAAACUCAUGAGACAUACCAUCUAAGCCAAUCGUGACAGUAUCCUUUUCACAAUCAAUCUUAGCGUUAACAGUAUUCAAGAAAGGUCUAUCAAAAAUAAUGGGACAAAAGUCAUCUUGUGGGGAACUAAGAACAAGAAAAUCAGCGGGAUACUUAACCUUCCCACACAAGACUUCAACAUCUCUAACAAUCCCAAUUGGUGAAAUAGUAUCUCUAUUGGCAAGCUUGAUAGUAACAUCAAUAUCUUCCAAUUCAGCGGGUGCAAUGUCAUGCAUAAUUUCUUUAUAUAAGUCAUAGGGUAUUGCACUGGCACUAGCACCCAUAUCACAUAAGCCAUGAUAACAAUGAUCUCCUAUUUUAAUAGAAAUAACAGGCAUGCCUACCACAGGUCUAUGUAUCUUAGUAUCGGGUUUAGCAAUAUUAGCAGCUUCAUCACGGAAAUAAAUAACAUGCCCAUCUAUAUCAUCAUCCAAGAGAUCUUUAACCAUAGCAAUACUAGGUUCAACUUUAAUUUGCUCAGGAGGUGUAUAAGUCCUAGUAUUACUCUUACGAACAACAGUCGAAGUUUUAGCAUGAUCCUUUAUCCUAAUAGGAAAAGGGGGUUUCUCAACAUAAGUAGUAGGAACAAUAGGAUCACUAUAAGUAACAGUCUUUUCUUCAACUGUAAUAGGUGCAACUACUUUUACUUCAACGGGAGGAUUAUAUUUAAACCACUUCUCCUUAGGGAGAUCAAUGUGAGUAGCAAAAGAUUCACAGAAAGAAGCUACUAUCUCAUAGUCAAGUCCAUAUUUAGCGCUAAAUCCACGAAAAGCAUCGGUAUCCAUAAAAGAUUUAACACAAUCAAACUUAGGUGUCAUACCUGACUCCUUACCAUCGUCGGAACCCCAAUCUUUAGAGUUGCGUUUAAUUCUUUCCAAUAAGUUCCAUUUGAAAUCAAUAGUCUUCAGCAUAUAAGAUCCAGCACAGGAAGUAUCGAGCAGGUUGCGAUUAUUAAGAGAAAGCCGAGCAUAAAUUUUUUGAAUAAUCAUUUCUCUGGAGAGCUCAUGAUUGGGGCAUGAAUAUAACAUUGAUUUAAGCCUCCCCCAAGCUUGAGCGAUGCUUUCUCCUUCGCGAGGCCAGAAAUUAUAUAUGUAAUUACGAUCAUGAUGAACAAGAUGCAUAGGAUAGAACUUCUGGUGAAAUUCCAACUUCAAUCGCUUAUAAUUCCAAGAUCUCGUAUCAUCACAUAGCCUAUACCAUGUCAAUGCAUCUCCCUUCAAAGAUAAAGGGAAGACCUUCCUUUUGACAACAUCAUCGGGAAUACCUGCAAGCUUAAAUAAUCCACAAACUUCAUCCACAAAGAUAAGGUGUAAAUCGGGAUGCAAUGUUCCAUCUCCUGCAAAUGGAUUAGCUAGCAGUUUCUCUAUCAUACCCGAAGGAAUCUCAAAGUAAAUAUUUUCAUAAAGUUCAGUAGGUUGAGGAGCAACUCUUUGCUCUUCUGGUCGGGGUGAAGAUACCCCGAACAAGCCCCUCAAAGGAUUAGUUUCCAUAGUGAUAAGUAACAGAAAAUUUCAGCACACUAUAUAAAUGUUUCCUUACCAAGUUCCACUCACCAAAAGCGCUACACUCCCCGGCAACGGCGCCAGAAAAGAGUCUUGAUGACCCACAAGUGUAGGGGAUCUAUCGUAGUCCUUUCAAUAAGUAAGAGUGUCGAACCCAACGAGGAGCAGAAGGAAAUGAUAAGCGGUUUUCAGUAAGGUUUUCUCUGCAAGCACUGAAAUUGUAGUAAUAGAUAGUUUUGUGAUAAGAUAAAUUGUAACGAGCAACAAGCAAUGAAAGUAAAUAAAGUGCAACAAGGUGGCCCAAUCCUUUAUGUAGCAAAGGAUAAGCCUGGACAAUUUCUAAUAAUGAGAAAGGAGCUCCCGAGGACACAUGGGAAUUAUCGUCAAGCUAGUUUUCAUCACGUUCAUAUGAUUCGCGUUCGGUACUUUGAUAAUUUGAUAUGUGGGUGGACCGGUGCUUGGGUGCUGCCCUUACUUGGACAAGCAUCCCACUUAUGAUUAACCCCUAUUGCAAGCGUCCGCAACUACAAAAGAAGUAUUAAGGUAAACCUAACCACAACAUUAAACGUAUGGAUCCAAAUCAGCCCCUAACGAAGCAACGCAUAAACUAGGGUUUAAGCUUCUGUCACUCUAGCAACCCAUCAUCUACUUAUUACUUCCCAAUGCCUUCCUCUAGGCCCAAGUAAUGGUGAAGUGUCAUGUAGUCGACGUUCACACAACACACUAGAGGAAAAGAUAACAUACAUCUCAUCAAAAUAUCGAACGAAUACCAAAUUCACAUGACUACUAAUAGCAAGACUUCACCCAUGUCCUCAAGAACAAACGUAACUACUCACAAAGCAUAUUCAUGUUCAUGAUCAGAGGAGUAUUAAUAUGCAUUAAGGAUCUGAACAUAUGAUCUUCCACCAAAUAAACCAACUAGCAUCAACUACAAGGAGUAAUCAACACUACUAGCAACCCACAGGUACCAAUUUGUGGUUUUGAUACAAGAUUGGAUACAAGAGAUGAACUAGGGUUUUGAGAGGAGAUGGUGCUGGUGAAGAUGUUGAUGGAGAUUGACCCCCUCCCAAUGAGAGGAUCGUUGGUGAUGAUUUCCCCCUCCCGGAGGGAAGUUUCCCCGGCAGAACAGCUCUGCCGGAGCUCUAGAUUGGUUCCGCCAAGGUUCCGCCUCGUGGCGGCGGAGUUUCAUCCCGUAAGUUUGCCCACGAUUUUUUCCAGGGUAAAAGCCUUCAUAUAGCAGAAGAUGGACACCGGGGGGGCACCAGGGGGCCCAGGAGACAGGGGGCGCGCCUAGUAGGGGAGGACGCGCCCCCCACCCUCCUGGCCAGGGUGUGGGCCCCCUGAGGUAUUUCUUCCGCUCAAUAAUUCUUAUAAAUUCCAAAAAUAAGUUUCGUGGAGUUUCAGGACUUUUGGAGCUGUGCAGAAUAGGUUUCCAAUAUUUGCUCCUUUUCCAGCCAGAAUUCCAGCUGCCGGCAUUCCCCCUCUUCAUGGUAAACCUUGUUAAAUAAGAGAGAAUAGCCAUAAGUAUUGAGAUAUAAUGUGUAAUAACAGCCCAUAAUGCAAUAAAUAUUGAUAUAAAAGCAUGAUGCAAAAUGGACGUAUCAACCACCGCAAGCCAGAGCGCUAUUUUGAAGAUGUCCUUGAGGGUGCCCGUUUGAUAGAGGGUCAAUGCUCGAAGGAUAUCAUGUUCGAGUAAAUGUAUCCGGACUACCCGGACAAUGUAUUAUAAACCAAGGCUAUGUAAUACAUUUUAUGCAUUUAUCUGAACUACUUUCCUCCUGUGCAGCCGUAUAUUAUUAUUCUGAAAGUUUGCCAGUCGUCGGCUUCAGCCCCCACGUAGAUACUACAGGGGUGUUCGGAAUAACGUGUAAUCACUCUUGACCCAACGUCUUGGUGUGUAAAGGAGGUGAUUUACGUAGUGAACCAGGCAAUCAGACUAUGUGACUUUAGCACUUUCUCUUAGCCAUAGGAGUUUGACAAGGGGACUGUAAGGUCGCCCCUGGUGCGCAUGCGGCUAUCCGGACUUGGAUGCCUUAAGCGCGUGACUGGAAAGAGCCAGUCCUUCGUGUAAUACGUAAGAAAUCGCUAGAGAUUUAGUAAGUCACCGAAUUGCUGACCAGCUCUCGCUGCAUCAUGCAUGACAAUCAGUUUUCGGCUUUCUCUACUGAGGUGCUUGACCGGACGAACCAGAAACACAAUCGCAGUAUUUCUCCCUUUACUAUCUUAGCCGAACUAGCGGAACAUAAGGUAGCAAACACAGGAGCAGGGCAACCCAACUAUUGACCAAAGACAUGAUUCGGAGCCGAUGCAUAUACUGCAGUAUUCAGGACGCCGAAGUCUACUCUGAGAGUGUUCGAACUUUUCUGUUUUCGCAAAUAUAUAUGGCUGAAUAGAGCCCCUGGCGAUUUAAGUCGUGCCGAGGUGUAUAUGCCAAUCUGACGUAAAAGGGGGGAACAGAUUAAGAAAUAAGCCGAUACCAAACAAGGUUGGGCGAAACUGUUUGCAUUAUAGUAUGAUUGGUACGUCAAAACAUAUUUUUACAGAAGAUGCGAUAAGCAUCACGGCUAUUUUACAUGCCGAGAACAAGGGGAAGCUGUAUACAGGUCCUAAAUUUGAAAAGAUGAUCUUGAAGAUCCUUUGGACACUCUGCCGCACGUCUGCGCUGCUUUUCGCCUUGGUGGAUGAUCCUUUGAGAUGAUCAACAAUCGAGUAUGCAUAAGGGGCCUAGAAAGGGGCCCUUGUUACCACCAUGAAUUGAUGUGGGUUGUGAAGAACCUGCAAAAUAAAAACAAGAAGAAAAAGGUGGAAAAUAUGAAGGUCCGGAUAGGGUCGAGCCGUACCGCUGACCUUAUAUUUAGCAUGCCUCCGUCCUUGCCCAUGGUAUCUUUAGUGCGUAGUUAUGUACGCGCGGUACAUAUGCCGCUAUCAAGUUGGGGCUUUGUCGGAGGCCGAAUUGCUAAUCUAGCUCUGGACGAGCCGGACUGUCAGUCUGCAGGGUAGACCGGACCCGUUUGACAGUGUCCGGGGGCUUGGUUGCCGAUUUAGUUUUCGGCUCAAUAAGGCCACCCGGUACUUCGGCUACAAGGGCCGCGGUAUGCUCCUCAGUACGGAGGGAGCGCUCCGUGUUUCCAUUAACUGUAAUAACGCCGCGGGGUCCAGGCAUUUUGAGCUUUAAGUAAGGAUAAUGCGGGACCGCAUUGAAGCGGGCGAAGGCGGUUCUCCCAAGCAGUGCGUGAUAACCACUGUGGAAAGGGACGACGUCGAAGAUCAAGUCUUCGCUUCGGAAGUUGUCCGGCGAACCAAAGACCACUUCCAGUGUUAUUGAGCCCGUGCAGCGGGCUUCUACACCGGGUAUUACUCCUUUAAAGGUGGUUUUAGUGGGCUUGAUUCUUGAUGGAUCCAUGCCCAUUUUACAGACAGUGUCCUAAUAAAGCAGAUUAAGACUGCUGCCGCCGUCCAUAAGGACUCGCGUGAGGUGGAACCCGUCAAUAAUUGGAUCGAGGACCAAUGCAGCCGAACUUCCAUGACAGAUACUAGUCGGAUGGUCUCUGCGAUCAAAGGUGGCUGACCAUGGAUUAAACUUUGGGGCGACUGGCUCUAUGGCGUAGACGUCCCUUAACGCGCGCUUACGCUCCCGCUUAGGGAUGUGAGUAACGUAGAUCAUGUUCACCGUUUUGACCUCGGGGGGAAAUUUCUUCUGUCCCCCUGUGUUCGGUGGGCGAGGCUCUUCAUCGUCGUCCUCGCUGGGCGGCCCUUUCCGCUUGUGUUCGGCGUUGAGCUUGCCGGCCUGUUUAAAGACCCAACAAUUUCUGUUGGUAUGAUUGGUAGGCUUAUCAGGGGUGCCAUGAAUCUGGCAAGGCCGGUCGAGUAUUCUGUCCAAACUACAUGGACCAUCCUUGUUUCCUUUGAACGGCUUCUUCCGCUGACCGGUUUUGAGAGCCACUGAAUCCGGCGUUGACCGCCGUGUCUUCAGUAUCUUCGUUAUUGCUUCGACGCUUGUGCUUGUUGCGUCGUGGCUUGCCAUUGCCAUCCCUGGCUUCGGAGGUGCCAGGGUCGCUGGUGCUAUUGCUUCUACGAGCUAGCCAACUAUCUUCUCCCGCGCAAAAGCGGGUCAUAAGUGCCGUAAGGGCUGCCAUGGACUUCAGCUUUUCCUGGCCGAGGUGUCGGGCGAGCCACUCGUCUAGAAUGCUGUGUUUAAAGGCAGCAAGGGCUUCGGCGUCCGGACAAUCCACAAUUUGGUUCUUUUUAAUUAAGAACCUGGUCCAGAGUUUCCGGACUGAUUCUCCGGGUUGCUGGACUAUGUGACUAAGAUCAUCGACGUCUGGAGGCCGAACAUAGGUACCUUGGAAGUUGUCUCUAAAGGCAUCUUCCAAGUCUUCCCAACUGCCAAUAGAAUUUUCUGGGAGGCUGUUUAACCAGUGCCGUGCUUGUCCCUUUAAUUUGAGCGGGAGGUAUUUGAUGGCAUGAAGAUCAUCACCGCAGGCCAUGUGAAUAUGGAGAAGAAAAUCUUUGAUCCAUACUGCGGGAUCUAUCGUACCAUCGUAUGAUUCAAUGUUCAAGGGUUUAAACCCUUCUGGGAACUGAUGUUCCAUCACUUCGUCGGUGAAGCAUAAGGGGUGUGCGGCGCCUCUGUAUCGGGCGAUGUCGCGGUGCAGUUCGAAUGAAGUCCGUAUGCGAUUUUCGGCCCGGGUGAGGUUGUGCCUGUCACGCCAGGCUUGAUGGCCGUCCUCUCGCGUUGGAGCACGCCCCCUCGAUCCAUAGAUUGAUCUUGUCUGACCGGCUCUAUUGUCCAGGUCCUUUCUUAGGUCGUAGGUAUAGCCCGGGGCCGUUGCCUCCUUGCCUCGAUGGCAGGGUGGUGCGGGCUGGUGUUCGGCGUAAGUAGCCUGUCUGUCCCGUCCACGUGGUGGUCGGUCGGGUUCGUCAGCAGUUUUAUGCUUUGGCGGUAUUGGCUCAAGGGCCUCGUCGUCAAAUUGUGGUAGUAGCUUGCGCUUUGGGUAACUCUUAGUGGGGCGUUCAAGGCCGUAUUCCUCGGCUGCCAGGACAUUAGUCCAUCUGUCAUUGAGUAAAUCAUGUUCAGCUUGAAGCUGCUGCUGCUUCUUUUUUAGGCUUCUCGCAGUGGCGAUUAGCCGGUGCUUAAAACGCUCUUGUUUGAGGCGUUCCUCCGGCACGAUGAAGUCUUCGUCGCCGAGGCUCACAUCCUCUUCGGAGAUCGGUAAGUAGUUACUAUCCUCCGAGUCCUUGUUCCUGACCGGAUCGUCGGGGUUAACUUGCCCAUCCUCCCAAUCAUCCUGUUCGGAUGUUGGCUCGACAGGGGCUCCGGGGUCUUCGGCAUUCUCCGGAGUGUUAUUGUCUCCGGCUCCGGGGUCUUCGGCAUUCUCCGGAGUGUUAUUGUCUCCGGUGCCGAUAUUGCUUUCUUUUUUACAACGCGAUUUUGAGCGGCGCCGCUGACGUUGAUGCGUCGGAGGUGCUUCGGCAGGCUUGUCCUCAACCGGAUCCUUCUUGCCGUCGUCGUCAUCCUCUUUGGGUGUGUCCAUCAUGUACACGUCGUAUGCGGAGGUGGCCGUCCAAUGUCCGGUAAACGGAGGGUCUUGGCCUUGUUCGUCUCCGGCAUCGUCGUCAAUGCCGUCGAUGUCUUCGGAGGCGUAAUCCAGCAUGUCGGUUAGAUCUUCAAUAGUGGCUAUGAAGUGGGUGGUGGGUGGGACGUAAAAUUCCCCGCUCUCAGCCCCUAGUCUGGGAUGGGCGUAAUUUGGAAGCGAUUCCUCUGUAAUGGCGAGGGAUCGCAUUAAGUCCAGAGCCUCGUUUAGGAGCAAGGCUUGGACAGCGAAGCGAGAGUCCGCAGGGCUGACCGGGGUGAGAGCCUCCUGGCCGUGCCCGCUUGACGCGGACCUCGAGAGUUCGGAUUUAGAGUCCGAGGGAGAGUCCGGCACUUUAGCAACAAGGGGAGCUCGGUUCGUCUUCGGGUUUGCCGAUGACGCAAUCCCCUCCAGAUCUGUUGUAGCAAGUUCCAUAAUUGCAGGGAGUCCGACGGGCUCUAAACUCCCGUCUUCGAACCUGGUAGUCUGCUCUAGAUCUAAGGCCAGAGCGGCGGUCGGGGCCGCGAACCCUCCGAAAACCAAGUCUCCUCGGAUAUUCGCGACAUAAUUUAGGUUCCCGAAACUGAUCUGAUGACCAUGGGCGUAGUUGUCGAUCUGCUCAAGGUGGCCAAUCGAGUUGGCACGCAGUGCGAAGCCGCCGAAUACGAAAAUUUGACCGAGGAGGAAAGACUUCCCCAAAACAGCAUCAUUGUAGAUGAUCGAAUGAGCCAUCGAACCUUCUGUCGACAGCACAGAGGAACUCUCAAUGAAAGCACCAAUGUCGGUGUCAAAACCGGCCGAUCUCGGGUAGGGGGCCCCGAACUGUGCGUCUGAGUAUCGAAGGUAAUAGGAGGCAGGGGACACGAUGUUUACCCAGGUUCGGGCCCUCUUAAUGGAGGUAAUACCCUACUUCCUGCUUGAUUGACUUUGAUGAGUAUAGAGGUUACACGAGUUGAUCUACCUCGAGAUCGUAAUGGCUAAACCCUAGAUGUCUAGCCUGUAUGAUUGUGUUUUUUCUCUCUACGGACGUACAGAGUCGGAUUACAGAGAAAGGAAUCUUCACGUCCGAACGCCAAGCUUGCCAUCCACGCAAAGGAGAGUCCCAUCCGGACACGGAAAAAGACCUUCUAUCUUGUAUCUUCAUAGCCCGGACGCCCGGAGACCCCCUAAUCCAGGACUCCCUCAAGGGCUAGAAGAGUGCACGGUUAUAAUGUAUCUAAAUUUCUUGGUUUUCACCACUACUUUUUUUAUUUCAGUUUUCUUACGUGUUUCUUUUGUACGCUUUUUUAGCACAUGUCUAUGUUUCUCAGUACACAAUACACUUUCCCGGUGUACAAAUGAAACAAAGUUUUGAUACAUGUUUUUUUGUUCAAAUAGACGAUGUACGUUUUUCUUUUAAUAUGGUUUUGAACAUUUUUCUGAAUACAUGAUCAACGUUUCUAAAAAUACAAAAUGAACAUUUUAUAAAUCAAUAAACAUUUCUUUUAACUAUGCAUCAUUUUAAACAUUCUAUAGACAUGCAAGAAAAGUCAUGGGCAUUUCUUUAAAACACGUGAAUAUUUCUUUAUAAUGCCACGUCACUUUUGUAACCUGCGCAAACAUUUUUUUUACGUUGUAUAGACAGUUUUUUGUACAGUUUUUUUAUACAUGAUUAACAUUUUUUCAAACAUAUAUUAUGAUGUCAUGUUUCAUACACAUUCUACAGUUUACGUAUACACCAGGAAUAUUUUUGAUAUACACGUUUAACCUUCCAAAUACAUGAUUAACGUAUUUGAAAAAUCAUAUUUUUAUGUCUUUUUCCAUACACAUUAAACAUUCUUUCCAUACAUCAGGAACAUUUUUUUGUAUAUUUGUUUAACAUUUUUUCACAUGCAUAUUUAAUGUUUUUUAAAGAUAUACUCCCUCCGUCACAUAAUUUAGGCGCGUCUUUGACACUACGAUAGUGUAAAAAACGCUCUUAUAUUAUAGGACGGAGGGAGUAGUUUUUAUGUCUGCUUUUUUCCAUACUUUUUUUGUGUACAUGCGAGGGCCCAAGCCGGGCGGGGGUGGCCGUGCUCGCAGCCCCAUGAAAUUAAAGCACAUUCAUGGCCAAGCACCUACAUGGGAGCACCUACACGGGAGGAGGCAAGUCGAGGCGGUGAGCCUAGUGUUAGGAGGGCCGGGCGGGGGCGGCGAUGGGAGCCAGAGCGCUUCGUCCAGCGGCGGUCGGCUUGUUGGGAAAGAUGAAGAAAAGAGAAAGAAGAUUCACAGUAUGGUUUUACGGGAUCUAUUCGCGCAGACCUUCGCGAUACCAGAAAAUCGUUUUCGGGGUAAUGACAAUGUAUUUUCCAGUUUCAAUUUUUCUGGGGUCCGCUAGAGAUGCCCUAAGGCUAAGCAUGUCAACUAAAACAUUUUUUAGGGCAAUUUAUGUUGGCACGAUGAUGACAAAUUUAGUUAGGAACCAUGCUAAUUUCAUGGCAAAAAGAUAAUGUGAGGUUGAUUUGACAUGAUUAUCAAAUCAACUUGUCAUUCUCGGCAAACAUAAAAUGCCAAUAAAAACAUCCGAUUUGCCAUGGUAAAAAAACUGAUGUAAGAUUUGUAGUUGAGUCCUUUUUAAUAGCUCUACACCGUCGAUGCUAGGUUUUUUUCAAGACUAAGCACGACACAGGUCGGAGGAGACUUGCUCCAUACCCAACAAGAGUGCAAAGAUACAUCUUGCUUAUAGCGAGUAUAGUGUCCGAUCUCGCCUGUAGGAUUUUCUUGUGUGAUCAAUGGUCCAACGCAAAUUUGUUUUUGUUCCUGGGUUUCGACCGAGACACUUGUGGUUUUGUUUGGUCGUUGCACUCCUUUUGGCUCAUUUUUGUAGUCUUUUUCCUGGUUUUGUCUUCUUUGUUCUUUUUGGUUUUCUUUGUUUCUUCACUCGUUCUCUCGGGUUUUCUGUUUUCUUUGUUUUUGCGCCGGGUUUUCAUUUAUUUCUCGGGUUUCACUAGGUUUCAUUUGUUUUACUUUUCACAUACACAAUUAGUAUUUUUUCAAAUUUGUUCACAAAGUGAUUUUUGUAGUAGAUAUGUUUAGAAUACUUUGAAAUAUAAUUAAAAACACUAAUUACAAAUAUGAAAAAGGGAACGUAGAAGACCCGUUGUCCGCACUAGGCCGGCCCAUUCUGGCGCAUGCCUGAGGCGAGGCGUGGUGCUGUCAAGAGCAAACCUCCUAAGAGCAUCUACAACCGG
RNAcentral lists this long non-coding RNA (61363 nucleotides) under Triticum aestivum (bread wheat). Its description in RNAcentral is "long non-coding RNA (TAES_LNC013230)". The record is from RNAcentral. Lineage: Eukaryota; Viridiplantae; Streptophyta; Magnoliopsida; Poales; Poaceae.